RNAcentral lists this long non-coding RNA (62844 nucleotides) under Lotus japonicus. RNAcentral describes it as "long non-coding RNA (LJAP_LNC002029)". The record is from RNAcentral. Lineage: Eukaryota; Viridiplantae; Streptophyta; Magnoliopsida; Fabales; Fabaceae.
GAUGACCCUAUUUUAGUAGUGUUUUUAGGGUCAUUUCUUUGUGUGUUUUGAGUCUUUUUGUUGAGUCUCAUGUAGUGUUUCAUGCAUUCUCAUGCAUUUUUAUAUUUUCUUUAGUCUUUAUUUGGCUUUGGUAAUUUAGUAGUUUUAUAGGGAGUUUUCUUGCAUUUUGAGUAAAGUUUAGGACUUGCAUGGUUUUAUUGUGUUAAUUGAAGGAUCUCAUGUGCUAAUAAGCUCUUUGAGCUUCUAGAAUUUUCCUUGGCUUGUUGGUUAAGUUUCAGAUCAGGAACUGAAGAAGGAAGAAGGCCAAUAAGCAUGGAAUUGAUGGAAAACUUAAAAAGGAUUGAAAAGAGGAGUUUCAGAAGCCAAAAAGCCCUUUUCAAGCGAGCUCAAGCGCCUAGGCGCUGGGGGAUGGGCGCCUAGGCGCCAAUUGGUCCAGAGAGCAUGUUUUUUAAGUGCAAUUGGCGCUCAGGAGCUCUGAAUUGGCGCCUGAGCGCCCAGACUCGACCUGUUAGCCUUUAAAUAGGCUUUUUGCCAUUUCUUUUGUAACUUUUGUCAUUUCUAUACAUUCCUAAAUAAGUUACAAGUAGGGUUAGGCUCUGGAGCUUGAGGAGAAGCAUUCUCCAAGUCCAUGUUCCAGGUUUUAUCCUUCUUUUCUUGUAUGGAUUCUAUAGCCAUGCUUGGCUAAAACCCCCUUUUGCUUUGGGUUCUUUGUAAGACUUUGAAUGUUUUAGCUAUCAAUCCUUUUCUAUUCAUGAUGUUCUGAGUAAACCCUUGAAUCUCACUUCUAUGCUUUAUCUUUCAAGCUUGUAUGCAUGCUAGCUUCUUACUUUUCUAUAAUCAUAACGAUAGUUUGUUAUAGGAUUGGGACUUGUUGUGAGAUUACCUCUUCUAUACUUGCUGCUAGGAAUAGAGGAAGGGUUGGGGUUUGUUGGCCUGAAUUGCAUGCUUAGUGCUUCUAACAAAUGUUUAGGUUGUCAAGGAAUUGAACCUAUCUUUUGAUUAGAAAGGGUUUUCUUUACGAGGCAUCGAUAGAUAACUAUCUAGGCUAGAACAUCAAGGAGAGACUCAGGAUUAAUUGAAUAGGGAGGUUUGCUAAAACUGAAUUAGUCGAACAAGAACCCAAGGCAAUCUCAUCUCUGUUUUUCAAUCGCUUUAUUACUUGAUUACUUGUCUUUUUGCAAACUCAAGAAACAACCAAUUAUUAAAACUGAAUUUUACUUGCUUUUCAACCUUGAACUUGAAUCUUAAACUGAAUUGCCACACCAAUUCCCUGUGGUUCGAUAAUUUAAAACUCGGAGGUAUUCGUACACUUGCGAAUUGACCAACAAGUUUUUGGCGCCGUUGCCGGGGAAUUGUUUGUGGUUUUUGAUUUAAGUUUUUAGUUUGUGGUUUUAUUUUUUGUUUUUAUCUUUGUCUAGAAUUGGUGCUACUAAUCUUUCUUUGUUUUAGUGUCACACUUUCAGGUUGCUCUCGAGAGAGACACUGUCAUGGGUGGCCAAAUGACGGAGGAGGAGAUGCAAGCCCAUAUCGAGGCAAGAAUCCAAGAGGGGAUCACCCUCCGAUUAUGUGAACAAGAAGUUGAGAAUGCCAACCGGUCUCUUCGGGAACUCACUUCGGCUACCAUGAGUUAUGACUAUCCCGGGUGUAAGAUCAAGUUUUGAUCUAGUAGUACAACUCUAUGUUUUGAUGAUUACAAGUUAACCUUUUGAUAUGAACAAUUGUGGUACUCUAACGUGUUUUUCUGAGUGUGCUAUUUACAGGCUCUGACCCUGACUCUAUUUCACACAAAUCAGAAGCACUGUGUAUAAAGGGUAACCCAAGCAACGCUUUCGCAUUCACCAUGUUCAGUAUGAACAGUGGAAAAGCUUCAGAAGAUCUGAAGCUAUACAAACUCUGAUGAGGACUCAGUCGCUAGAAGCUCUGAUGAUCCAGAAGUUCUGACAACCAAGAAACACUGAAGGUUCAGAUGUUCUGAUGGUGUAGAAGACUCUGAAGAUCCAGAAGCUGAAUAGUAGAAACUCUGAAGUCCAGAAGCAAGAAACUCUGAAGGCCAUGUUCUUCCCUCUGAGUUCAGAAUCAGAAGAUACAAUGGUCAGAGGAUCUGUGCUAUCCCUCUGACUCUGAUCAACCGGCUUCACAAGUUCCAAUACGAAGCAUUCCUCUGAUCAGAAGUCUCCUAGGUUAAAAGGUCAAGUCGCUAUCCAAGUACAAAAGCAAGUGUACCUUCCUGACGACCUACCUAACGUUCUCAGCCACAGCAGAAGCUGGAUUUUCCAGAACUGCCCUCCAACGGUAGCAUUUCCCAUGCAACGCUCAACCCUAAUCCUUGGAGUAUAUAUAGAGGCUGAAGAUUGAAAGAAGCGGCCAGAAGCAAUACACACGCGCAAGAUAUUCAAAAUAUUCUAAGCUUUCUUUCAUCUUGUAAUUUAUUUAGUUUACACUCAGCUUAUUUAGAAGCAAACCCUUGUAAACACCAACCUCAAACAGUUGUUUGAUUUUCCUUAAGGGACCGGGUAGGUCAGUAUCCUUAAGAAGACUAAGAGAGUGAAUCUUAGUGGUAGUUCCUUUAGGAGAUCAAGGUUGAUCGGAUCCUAGAGAAGACUAAGAGAGUGAAUCUUAGUGAUAGCUAAGUCAGUGUAUUGUUAGUCACUUGUAGGUUUCAAGUGCAGUUGUAACAAUUAUCUGAUUAGUGGAUUGCCUUCAUUCUAAGAAGGAAGAAAUCACCUUAACGGGUGGACUGGAGUAGCUUGAGUGAUUUAUCAAGUGAACCAGGAUAAAAUCCUUGUGUGCUUUUCUAUCUCUAUCUUUAGCACUUAGUUCUCGAAAAGAUUUGUUAAAAUCUUUAAGGUGGUAGUUUUGUACUGAAAACGUUAUUCAAACCCCCCCUUUCUACCGUUUUUCAUACCUUCAAUUGGUAUCAGAGCGCAAGUUCUGAUUACCACACCUAACAGUGUUCAGUGAUCCGGGCCGGUGUGAAAAACAAUGGCUGCCACCACCAGUGAAACUCAAAGAGAUGGCUACAACGCAAAGCCUCCUAUGUUCGAUGGUCAAAGAUUCGAAUAUUGGAAAGAUAGACUGGAAAGUUUCUUUCUGGGUUUCGAUGCAGAUCUCUGGGAUAUUAUUGUGGAUGGCUAUGAGCGUCCAGUUGAUGCAGAUGGCAAAAAGAUCCCAAGGUCAGAGAUGUCUGCAGAUCAAAAGAAGCUGUACUCACAACAUCAUAAAGCAAGAGCAAUUCUUCUAAGUGCUAUCUCCUAUGAGGAGUACCAGAAGAUUACAGAUCGUGAGUUUGCUAAAGGCAUUUUUGAUUCUCUGAAGAUGUCUCAUGAAGGAAACAAGAAAGUCAAAGAAUCAAAGGCAUUGUCUUUGAUCCAAAAGUAUGAAUCCUUCAUCAUGGAGCCAAAUGAGUCCAUUGAAGAAAUGUUCUCCAGAUUUCAACUGCUUGUAGCUGGCAUACGUCCUCUCAACAAGAGCUACACAACAAAAGAUCACGUCAUAAGGGUCAUCAGGUGUCUUCCUGAAAGUUGGAUGCCUUUGGUGACUUCAAUAGAGCUCACGAGAGAUGUUGAGAAUAUGAGUUUAGAAGAACUCAUCAGCAUUUUGAAAUGCCAUGAGCUGAAGCGCUCAGAGAUGCAAGAUCUGAGGAAAAAGUCCAUAGCCUUGAAAUCCAAAUCUGAAAAGGCUAAGGUUGAGAAGUCAAAGGCUCUUCAAGCUGAAGAAGAAGAAUCAGAAGAAGCAUCAGAAGAUUCUGAUGAAGAUGAGCUGACUCUGAUCUCCAAGAGACUCAACCGCAUCUGGAAGCACAGGCAGAGCAAGUUCAAAGGCUCUGGAAAGGCAAGAGGAAAGUCUGAAUCCUCAGGUCAGAAGAAGUCAUCAAUCAAGGAAGUCACUUGCUUUGAGUGCAAAGAAUCAGGGCACUACAAAAGUGACUGUCCAAAAUUGAAGAAGGACAAGAAGCCAAAGAAGCACUUCAAGACCAAAAGUCUGAUGGUGACAUUCGAUGAAUCAGAGUCAGAGGAUGUUGACUCUGAUGGUGAAGUCCAAGGACUCAUGGCUAUUGUCAAAGACAAAGGAACAGAGUCAAAGGAAGCUGUUGACUCUGACUCAGAAUCAGAAGGAGAUCCAGACUCUGACGAUGAAAAUGAGGUAUUUGCUUCCUUCUCUACCUCUGAACUGAAACAUGCUUUGUCUGAUAUCAUGGAUAAGUAUAACUCCUUGUUGUCUAAGCAUAAGAAGCUGAAAAAGAACUUAUCUGCUGUUUCUAAAACUCCUUCUGAACAUGAGAAAAUCAUAUCUGUUUUGAAAAAUGAUAACCAUGCUUUAGUUAAUUCUAACUCUGUGCUUAAGAAUCAAAUUGCAAAGUUAGAAGAAGUUAUUGCCUGCGAUGCCUCUGAUAGUAAGCAUGAAUCUAAGUAUGAAAAAUCUUUUCAAAGAUUCCUGGCUAAAAGCGUAGAUAGAAGUUUAAUGGCUUCAAUGAUCUAUGGUGUAAGCAGAAAUGGAAUGCAUGGCAUUGGCUAUUCUAAACCAAUUAGAAAUGAGCCUUUUGUGUCUAAAGCUAAAUCCUUGUAUGAAUGCUUUGUUCCCUCUGGUACCAUAUUGCCUGAUCCUGUACCUGCUGAAGUUGCUAAAAACCCUCUUAAAAAGGGAUCUUUCUCUAUGACUAAAUAUCAUGCAAAUAUUCCUUUAAAAUAUCAUGUUGAGACACCCAAGGUGAUCAGAACCUUUGGGGUAACUAACAAAAGAGGACCCAGAAAGUGGGUACCUAAGGACAAGAUUAUCUAUGUUGCAGAUAUCCUUGAUAGCUCCACUGAAACACCAAUCAUGGUAUCUGGACAGUGGAUGCUCGCGUCACAUGACGGGAGAAAAGCGUAUGUUCCGAGAGCUGAAACUUAAGCCUGGAGGCGAAGUUGGCUUUGGAGGAAAUGAAAAGGGUAAAAUUAUUGGUACUGGUACUAUUUGUGUAGAUAGUAGUCCAUGCAUUGAUAAUGUUUUAUUGGUAGACGGCUUAACACAUAACUUAUUGUCUAUAAGUCAAUUAGCUGACAAGGGUUAUGAUGUUAUAUUCAAUCAAAAGUCCUGCCGGGCUGUAAGUCAGAUCGAUGGCUCUGUUCUGUUUAACAGCAAGAGGAAGAACAACAUUUACAAGAUCAGAUUAUCUGAGUUGGAGGCUCAGAAUGUGAAGUGCCUUCUGUCUAUUAAUGAAGAGCAGUGGGUAUGGCAUAGACGGUUAGGGCAUGCCAGUAUGAGAAAAAUUUCUCAGCUGAGCAAGCUAAACCUUGUCAGGGGCUUACCCAAUCUGAAGUUCGCUUCAGACGCUCUUUGUGAAGCAUGUCAGAAAGGCAAAUUCACAAAAGUCCCUUUCAAGGCAAAGAAUGUUGUCUCAACCUCAAGGCCGUUGGAACUUCUGCAUAUCGACCUGUUUGGACCAGUGAAAACUGAGUCUAUAGGUGGCAAGAGAUAUGGGAUGGUUAUCGUUGAUGACUAUAGCCGCUGGACAUGGGUAAAGUUUCUAACCCGCAAGGAUGAGUCUCAUGCUGUGUUCUCUACCUUCAUUGCUCAAGUGCAAAACGAGAAGGCUUGUAGAAUUGUGCGUGUCAGAAGUGACCAUGGUGGAGAGUUUGAGAAUGACAAGUUUGAGAGUCUGUUUGAUUCCUAUGGAAUUGCACAUGAUUUCUCUUGUCCCAGAACUCCUCAACAAAAUGGUGUUGUUGAGAGGAAGAACAGAACUCUUCAGGAGAUGGCUAGAACCAUGCUCCAAGAAACUGGCAUGGCUAAGCACUUUUGGGCAGAGGCAGUAAAUACAGCAUGUUACAUUCAGAACAGAAUCUCUGUGAGACCAAUUCUGAAUAAGACUCCUUAUGAAUUGUGGAAGAACAUAAAACCCAACAUUUCUUAUUUUCAUCCUUUUGGCUGUGUUUGUUAUGUUCUCAAUACUAAGGAUAGAUUGCAUAAAUUUGAUGCUAAAUCUUCUAAGUGUCUAUUACUUGGUUAUUCUGAUAGAUCUAAAGGUUUUAGAUUUUAUAAUACUGAUGCUAAGACUAUUGAAGAAUCUAUUCAUGUUAGAUUUGAUGAUAAGCUUGACUCUGACCAGUCAAAGCUAGUUGAAAAGUUUGCAGAUUUAAGCAUUAAUGUUUCUGACAAAGGCAAAGCUCCAGAGGAAGUUGAGCCAGAGGAAGAUGAACCAGAGGAAGAAGCUGGUCCCUCUAACUCACAAACUCUGAAGAAGAGCAGAAUCAUUGCAGCUCAUCCUAAGGAAUUGAUUCUGGGCAACAAAGAUGAACCAGUCAGAACCAGAUCUGCCUUCAGACCCUCUGAAGAGACCUUGCUGAGUCUGAAAGGAUUGGUGUCCUUAAUUGAACCCAAGUCCAUAGAUGAAGCUCUUCAGGACAAGGAUUGGAUUCUGGCCAUGGAAGAAGAAUUGAAUCAAUUCUCCAAGAACGAUGUUUGGAGCUUAGUGAAGAAGCCUGAGAAUGUCCAUGUUAUUGGAACGAAAUGGGUAUUCAGAAACAAGCUAAAUGAGAAAGGAGAUGUAGUCAGAAACAAGGCAAGGCUAGUUGCUCAAGGCUACAGCCAGCAGGAAGGAAUAGACUACACUGAAACAUUUGCUCCAGUAGCAAGACUGGAGGCAAUCAGACUAUUGAUUUCUUUCUCAGUAAAUCACAACAUAGUUCUACAUCAGAUGGACGUAAAGAGUGCCUUCCUAAAUGGUUAUAUCUCAGAGGAAGUCUAUGUUCAUCAACCCCCAGGUUUUGAAGAUGAAAAGAAACCAGACCAUGUGUUCAAAUUGAAGAAAUCACUCUACGGUCUGAAGCAAGCUCCCAGAGCAUGGUAUGAGAGACUUAGCUCAUUCCUUCUGGAGAAUGAGUUUGUAAGGGGUAAAGUAGAUACAACUCUCUUUUGCAAGACUUAUAAAGAUGAUAUCUUAAUUGUGCAAAUUUAUGUUGAUGAUAUUAUAUUUGGUUCUGCUAAUCAAUCUCUAUGCAAAGAAUUUUCUGAGAUGAUGCAGGCUGAAUUUGAGAUGAGUAUGAUGGGAGAAUUAAAGUACUUUCUGGGAAUACAAGUUGAUCAAACACCAGAAGGAACAUAUAUCCAUCAGAGCAAGUACACUAAGGAACUUCUGAAGAAGUUCAAUAUGCUGGAAUCUACAGUGGCCAAGACUCCAAUGCAUCCAACAUGCAUUCUGGAAAAAGAAGAUAUAAGUGGUAAAGUAUGUCAGAAGCUCUAUCGUGGCAUGAUAGGUUCACUUCUGUACUUAACUGCAUCUAGGCCAGACAUAUUAUUUAGUGUUCAUUUAUGUGCUCGUUUCCAAUCAGAUCCAAGGGAAACCCACUUAACUGCUGUUAAGAGGAUCCUAAGGUAUCUGAAAGGCACCACUAACCUUGGCUUGAUGUAUAAGAAAACAUCAGAGUAUAAGCUUUCAGGUUAUUGUGAUGCUGAUUAUGCUGGAGAUAGAACAGAGAGAAAAAGUACUUCUGGAAAUUGUCAAUUUCUGGGAAGCAAUCUAGUCUCAUGGGCAAGCAAGAGGCAAUCAACCAUUGCUCUAUCAACUGCAGAGGCAGAAUAUAUCUCAGCAGCAAUAUGCAGCACUCAGAUGCUCUGGAUGAAACAUCAGCUGGAGGAUUAUCAGAUCCUUGAGAGCAAUAUCCCAAUCUAUUGUGAUAACACUGCUGCAAUUUCGUUGAGCAAGAAUCCUAUCUUGCAUUCAAGGGCAAAGCACAUUGAGGUAAAGUAUCACUUCAUUAGAGAUUAUGUGCAGAAGGGCGUACUUCUUCUGAAGUUUGUUGAUACUGACCAUCAAUGGGCAGAUAUCUUUACAAAGCCCUUAGCUGAAGAUAGAUUUAAUUUUAUUCUGAAAAAUCUAAACAUGGACUUUUGUCCAGAGUGAAGAUAGAUCAGAACCUCUGACUAUGAUACUUCUUGUUCAGAAGAUGUCUAGUCCAGAAGGUAACUCAAUCAGAGUGUGUGUGCCCACUGGUACUGACUCUGAAGCUGAGACAACAACACGUGCGUCAGAAUUUCUGAUGCAUAGUUCCUUGUGCCCGUGUGACAGUCUGUUAUGAUUGCGUGUAGAUAUGCUUAUCUCCUGUGUGUGAUUGUGUAUUUUACUGUUACUAUCUAUCUUUAAUUUUCAACCGUUGAUCUUAAAGUGCUUUUUGAAUCAACAACGGUUAUUUGAUAAACCCACUAUACACACACGUUCUCUCACACUUCCGGUUUUCACUCUCGCACUCUCUGCUUUUCAAAACCGCAUUUCUCUCGAAUUCUCUCUCGAUCUCUCUUCAUCCUUCAAACUUCAUCUUCUACCUCAAACCUUCAACCUCUUCAAGAUGGUGAGACAAACCAGCAGAGCUACUGCAGAUGCACCUCAGUUCCCUCACAUGGUAGUCGGUUUGGCAACGGGUCAACGGGGCUCUGAGAACCCAGCACAAGAACAAGCUCAAGCUCAAGAGGAGAUUGUUCCUAUUGCAGAACGGGGCUGUGCCGUUCACUGUGUAUUUCCUCCUGAGGAACUCCAAGUCCUGGCAGAAUGGAGAUUCAACCUCGACAACUUGGCUGCAAAUGGGUUUGAUCUCCGUCCUGAAGUCCAAGCUCAAGGUUGGGGAAACUACUUCAAUCGACUUCGAGGACCGGUGUAUGAGAAGCUAGUAAAGGAAUUCUGGAAGCACGCUGAUUGUGAUGACACUCAGGUAGUCUCCUACAUACUGGGUAGGAAGAUCAUCAUCACGGAGAAGUCCUUCGUGAAUCUGCUAGGUGCAGAAACUGCUCAUGGGUAUCGGUUCUCACUGACGGAAUCGAAGCUGAAACCCAGAACCAAGGACAUCGUCAACAAGGCCCUGUACACAACUUUUAAACCGGGCAAGACGAGUUAUAAGGUGAUGGAUCUUCACCCCAAACUGAGAAUCUGGCACAAGAUCCUGCUCAACUGCAUCAAUCAACGACCAAAGGGCAGUUCUCCAGACUACAUCAACUUCAAUCAGAAGGCGAUGCUGUUCUUCAUUCAAGACAAGGAGAAGAUCUGCCUUCCCUACUUCCUGUUUUCCUACUUGAAGGAAUGCAUCCGGAAGUCUCGCACCACCGCCUCCAUCAAGUCAGCCAUCAAAUAUAUCCCUUUUGGGAGGCUGCUCUCAGACUUUCUCAUUGAAAGCCACUUGGUGCAAGAUUUGAUCGAUGCUGGUUGCACAGAGGACUUGAGCACAAUUGUCAGUGACGUCUUCACUGCCAACUCUUUGAAGAAGAUGGGCUUAGUCCAGAAGAAGAUUGCUCCUGCUCAUGAGGACACAUCUUCUGAGAUCAGAGGAAGAAGAAUGCCUCUGAAUGACUACCCUCUGUGGACUCAAGCAGACCAUCCUGAAGCCAUCAGAUGCUAUGUUGAAGACCUCAGGGCUCAGGGAUUCGAGAUUGACCUUGAUGAUUUCGUCAGCAGACUUCCACCAGCUCCAGAGUUUCCUUCUCCUCCCAAGAAGAAAACCAAGAGGAAGAUGGUUCUGGACGAAUCCUCAGAGGAAUCUGAUGUCCCUCUGGUCAAGAAGGCGAAGAGCAAGCCUGAUGAUGAUGAUGGUGAUGAUAGUGAGGAUGGUCCUCCAAAGAAGAAGCAGAAGAAGGUCAGAAUCGUGGUGAAGCCUACUCGGGUGGAACCAGCUGCUGCAGAGGUCAGAAGGACUGUAGCUCCUGCCAGAGUGACUCGAUCAUCAGCACAUACAAGUAAGCCUGCACUUACCUCUGAUGAUGAUUUGAAUUUAUUUGAUGCACUCCCAAUUUCUGCCUUACUCCAACACUCUUCAAAUCCCCUCACUCCUAUUCCUGAAUCCCAGCCAGCCGCACAAACCACCUCUCCACCACAUUCCCCAAGAUCUUCAUUCUUUCAACCUUCUCCUACUGAAGCACCACUCUGGAAUUUGCUUCAGAACCAACCCUCUAGGUCAGAAGAUCCAACCUCUCUCCUUACCAUUCCAUACGACCCAUUACUUUCUGAACCCAACAUCCAAAACCAACCAGAACCCACACCAACAGAACCACAACCCAGAACGUCUGAUCACUCUGCUCCCAGAGCAUCAGAACGUCCUGCUGUCAGAACCACGGAUACAGACUCCUCAACAGCCUUUACACCUGUAUCCUUCCCGAUCAAUACUAUUGACUCUUCUCCCUCCAAUACUUCUGAAAACAUGAGAAAAUUCAUGGAGGUGAGAAAAGAAAGGGUAUCUGCCUUAGAAGAACAUUACCUUACCUGUCCAAGCCCUAGGAGAUAUCCUGGUCCUAGACCUGAACGUCUAGUGGAUCCUGAUGAACCUAUCUUGGCCAAUCCUAUCCAAGAGGCAGACCCCUUAGUUCAACAAGAGCCCAUUCAACCAGAACCUGAACCUGAACAUUCAGUGUCUAACCAAUCCUCGGUUAGAUCACCUCACCCUCUGGUUGAAACUUCAGACCCUCACCGUGGAACCUCUGAACCCAAUGCUCCCAUAAUUAACAUUGGUUCUCCACAAGGUGCCUCUGAAGCUCAUAGCAGCAAUCACCCAGCCUCUCCUGCACCCAACCUCUCCAUCAUUCCCUAUACUCACCUUCAACCCACAUCUCUCUCUGAGUGCAUCAAUAUUUUCAAUCAUGAAGCCUCCUUGAGGCUCCGCAAUGUGCACGGUCAGACUGACCUCAGUGAGAAUGCUGACAAUGUGGCUGAUGAGUGGAAUAAUUUGAGCACUUGGCUGGUGGCUCAGUUUCCCGUUAUGCUGCAGCUCCUGCAUGCAGAGGGCAGUCAGAGCAUUGAGGCUGCAAAGCAAAGGUUUGCUAGGAGGGUGGCUCUUCAUGAACUUGAACAGAGAACCAAGCUUCUUGAUGCCAUUGAAGAAGCCAAGAGACAGAAAGAACAAGAAGAAGAAGCUGCCCGUCAAGCAGCAGCUCAGGCUGAACAAGCCCGACUUGAGGCAGAACGUCUUGAAGCUGAGGCUGAGGCAGAGCGACUUGCACCAGUUCCGUUUACUCCUGCUGCUUCUGCUUCCAUUCCAGAACCUCAAGCUGCUCAGAAUGUUCCUUCCAGCUCUACUCAGACAAGCUCUUCCAGACUCGACAUCAUGGAACAACGUCUUGACACUCAUGAAUCCAUGCUGAUUGAGAUGAAGCAAAUGAUGAUGGAACUUCUGAGACGCACUGACAAACCCUAGUUUUUAGGAUUUCUUUCGUUUUUCUUUCUUAACUUAUUUUACUUUUAUUUAAGAUAUUUGCAUUAUUUGUUAUAUUUUGCUUACUCGUUGUUUCUCAUUGCAUAUAUAUACUACAUGUGUUUGCAAAUUUUUUUUUUAUUCAUAUAACUCACGUUCAUUACAUCAUACAUUAUUCCCUAUAUCUAGAAUGGCGGAUCCUUCCUCAUUCUUCUGCAUUCUUGGCGCUGCUCCACUCUUUCCUUCUCCAGACGAUCCAAUGCAUACUCUAUGUUGCUGAGUUUGAUGCUCAGAUCAUCUUUUUCUAGACUAUCUUCUGUCGUCUUAAGUCUCUUUUCCACAGUCUCCUUCUCUUCCAGCAGAUUCAGCUCCCGCUGGCAAAGCCUCUGAAUCUCUUCCACGAAGCAGAGGAACUCCUUCAGAUCUUUCUCCAUCUCUGGACCAAGAUCCUCUUCCAGCAGUGUAUUCGUAAGCUCUUGUAUGGUCUUUGUACCAUCGGGAUGCCUAAUAUUGAGGAAUAUAUCUUCCUCAAACGCCUUCCUUCUGAGCUCUUCUAAUACCUUUCUGUAUGAUGCCAUUUUUCUUACUGAAAAUUAUUCGAGAUGUGAAGCUUACCUUUCUCUCCAACGCUUUAUAUAGGUUUCACUUUCUCUCUGAAAGUUAAUGCUCUUACAGUUUCUCGAGGUUAAGUUCUUGGUAACUGACCCUUCUAUUUACUCACUUGACCGGUGGUAAACGUUCAUCCCUUGCAUUAACUCUUCUAUUUAUUGUCGCCUCACUCUGAUUCUUACAUCGUCCUCAUUUUCUUUCAACUUAGACCUUCUCUAAGGGGGAGUACCUUGUACUUCAAGCUAAGUUUUUUCACACCCCGAGCUUUUUGCUUAUGACAAAAAGGGGGAGUAAACCCAGUUUUUGAUGUGUAAGAUGUGUUAGUGUGACUUAUUUUUCUUUUGGAGAUUUUAAGAGUUCCACCUUCAUGACCAUAGAUGUGUCACUGGGCAAAUACAAGGAAUACAUUUCACUUCUUCUGAAGUGAUUCUAAGUUGACUCUGAUACCCAAGACUCUGAUACCUUGUCCAUGACUCUGAUCACUUAUGCGCUCUGAUUAUUCGUUUUUUAUCUAUGUCAUAAGCUUUUCACUCUGAACUCUUAUAUGUUUUAGCUCAGAAUCUAGACUUUACUAACGUUUUCAUCAAGUAUUAGAUUCAGGGGGAGCUAAGCUCAGAAUCAAGCAGUGACUUGAAUUCAGAAUGAGCAAGAUAGACUAUUCACAUCAGGAUAAGUUUUAUUCUAUAUCUCUAAACUCUGAGUGAAUUCAGUUUAAUGUUUAAGAAUUGUUCAUCAAAAAUCUUAGUUUUGUCAUCAUCAAAAAGGGGGAGAUUGUAAGAUCAAGUUUUGAUCUAGUAGUACAACUCUAUGUUUUGAUGAUUACAAGUUAACCUUUUGAUAUGAACAAUUGUGGUACUCUAACGUGUUUUUCUGAGUGUGCUAUUUACAGGCUCUGACCCUGACUCUAUUUCACACAAAUCAGAAGCACUGUGUAUAAAGGGUAACCCAAGCAACGCUUUCGCAUUCACCAUGUUCAGUAUGAACAGUGGAAAAGCUUCAGAAGAUCUGAAGCUAUACAAACUCUGAUGAGGACUCAGUCGCUAGAAGCUCUGAUGAUCCAGAAGUUCUGACAACCAAGAAACACUGAAGGUUCAGAUGUUCUGAUGGUGUAGAAGACUCUGAAGAUCCAGAAGCUGAAUAGUAGAAACUCUGAAGUCCAGAAGCAAGAAACUCUGAAGGCCAUGUUCUUCCCUCUGAGUUCAGAAUCAGAAGAUACAAUGGUCAGAGGAUCUGUGCUAUCCCUCUGACUCUGAUCAACCGGCUUCACAAGUUCCAAUACGAAGCAUUCCUCUGAUCAGAAGUCUCCUAGGUUAAAAGGUCAAGUCGCUAUCCAAGUACAAAAGCAAGUGUACCUUCCUGACGACCUACCUAACGUUCUCAGCCACAGCAGAAGCUGGAUUUUCCAGAACUGCCCUCCAACGGUAGCAUUUCCCAUGCAACGCUCAACCCUAAUCCUUGGAGUAUAUAUAGAGGCUGAAGAUUGAAAGAAGCGGCCAGAAGCAAUACACACGCGCAAGAUAUUCAAAAUAUUCUAAGCUUUCUUUCAUCUUGUAAUUUAUUUAGUUUACACUCAGCUUAUUUAGAAGCAAACCCUUGUAAACACCAACCUCAAACAGUUGUUUGAUUUUCCUUAAGGGACCGGGUAGGUCAGUAUCCUUAAGAAGACUAAGAGAGUGAAUCUUAGUGGUAGUUCCUUUAGGAGAUCAAGGUUGAUCGGAUCCUAGAGAAGACUAAGAGAGUGAAUCUUAGUGAUAGCUAAGUCAGUGUAUUGUUAGUCACUUGUAGGUUUCAAGUGCAGUUGUAACAAUUAUCUGAUUAGUGGAUUGCCUUCAUUCUAAGAAGGAAGAAAUCACCUUAACGGGUGGACUGGAGUAGCUUGAGUGAUUUAUCAAGUGAACCAGGAUAAAAUCCUUGUGUGCUUUUCUAUCUCUAUCUUUAGCACUUAGUUCUCGAAAAGAUUUGUUAAAAUCUUUAAGGUGGUAGUUUUGUACUGAAAACGUUAUUCAAACCCCCCCUUUCUACCGUUUUUCAUACCUUCACCGGGAGCAUUGUCUUUCCCGAGGGAGUUAGAAACUUUAAGUUGAGACCGGCAUUCAUCAACUUGAUGAGCCAAAACCAAUAUGGUGGAGGUACUUUGGAAGAUCCACAUGCUCACAUGGAGAGGUUCAUCCGGAAUUGCAACACUUACCGUGUGAACAAUGUUCCGACGGAUGCAAUUCGGUUGAGCUUGUUUCCAUUUUCUUUGAAGGAUGCAGCGGAGGAAUGGUUGAAUUCACAACCUCAAGGGAGUAUCACUACUUGGGAAGACCUAGCAGAAAAAUUCACAACAAGGUUCUUCCCAAGAGCUUUUUUGAGGAAGCUGAAAAAAGACAUUAUGAAUUUUGUGCAAACCACUGAGGAAAAUCUCUAUGAAGCUUGGGAGCGCUUCAAGAAGCUCUUGAGGAAAUGUCCUCAACACAAUCUCACCCAAGCUGAAUUGGUUGCAACAUUUUAUGAUGGUCUACAAUACUCUUGGAGGUUUGGCCUAGAUGCGGCUUCAAAUGGCGAGUUCGAUGCUCUUCCCCCACAAGCGGGGUAUGACUUAAUAGAAAAGAUGGCAGCGAGAGCCAUGAACUCUGAAAAUGAUCGCCAAACCCGAAGGAGUAAGCUUGAAGUGGAAGCUUAUGACAAGCUCUUGGCCUCCAACAAGCAACUCACCGAACAAGUGGCGGAGAUUCGAAUGCAUAUUAAGGAGACCAAGACUAUUGGUGCAAGAAUGACUUGUGUGGAGUGCAAGUCUUGUGGUGGACCUCAUGUUAGUAACUUGUGCACUGUCAAUGCUGAGAGCAAUGAAGCCAAAGCUAUAGCUCAAGGAAGCAUAGUUCCAUCCUCAAAUCAUGAACCUCUUGUCCAAACACAAGUUGUUGGAAAGGUGAAUUGCAAGAGGAGUUUAGAGGAGCUAUUGGAGAGUUGCAUCAACCGCAUGAACAACAACCAUAAGAACCAAGAGGCGGCUAUCAAGAACUUGGAGAACCAACUUGGCCAGCUAGCCAAGCAAAUUGCUGAAAGGCCUCAAGGUAAAUUUCCUUUCGAUACUAUCCCCAAUCCCGAACAAGAAAAUUCUGCUGUUGUUACCACUAGGAGUGGGAGAGUGUUACAUGAGUUAAAAAAGCAAAUUGAGGGAGAAAAAAGUGAGAAGAUAGUUGAGAAGGAAAGGAGUGUUCCUAUUAAAACUAGAUUGAUGAAUGAUCUUAUUCCUGAGCUUAGCAAAGUUCCAUUUCCUAAAGCAUUGGCUAAAAAGAAUUUGGAUAAAAAGUUUUCAAAAUUUAUGGAUGUUUUUAAGAAACUCCAUAUUGAUAUCCCUUUUUCCGAUGCUUUAGAGCAAAUGCCAAUCUAUGCUAAGUUCAUGAAGGACAUUUUAAGUAAGAGAAGGAAGUUGAGUGAGGUUGAUGAAACUAUUAUGAUGACCGAGGAGUGUAGUGCCAUUUUGCAAAGGAAAAUGCCUAAGAAGAGAAGGGAUCCCGGGAGUUUUACUAUCCCAGUGGAGAUUGAGGGGUUGACUGUUGUUGAAGCCUUAUGUGAUUUGGGAGCGAGCAUCAACUUGAUGCCGCUUAGCAUGUUUAGAAGGUUGAAUUUAGGAGAGGUUACCCCGACCAUGCUCUCCUUACAAAUGGCGGACCGAUCCCUAAAAACACCUUAUGGGAUCAUUGAAGAUGUGAUGGUUAAGGUUGAUAAGUAUGUGUUCCCAGUUGAUUUUGUGGUGCUAGACAUGGAGGAGGAUGCUAAGAUUCCUCUUAUUCUUGGCCGACCCUUCUUAGCCACUGGCAGGGCGAAGAUCGAUGUUGAUAAGGGUCAGCUCAUUCUCAGAGUUGGUGAGGACAAGGUAAGAUUUUCGGUUUUCAAUCCUAAUUUGCAAACUAACAUUAAUGAUGGUUUUGUUUGUGAUAUGAUCAAAAGCUUGUCCAGGUCUUCAAAGGAGACCCCCAAGGUAAGUGAAAAAGAUGUUGAGCUUAAUAAAGCUCUCAUCAAGCUUGUUAGUGAAAACAAGUAUGGGGGGUCUAAAGAUGAGAACUUCCAAGCCCACAUGGCCCGGUUCACUCAAGCUAGUCACCUUGUAAAGAUGGAAGGUGUGACUAGUGAUGAGCUCAAGGUGAAGCUCUUCCCUCACUCCUUGAGGGGGGAAGCAAGGAUUUGGUACGAUGGUUUAGAUGAUACCCUCUCUUGGGAGGAGUUAUUCCAAAGAUUUGGUGCAAGGUUCAUACCUUGCACAUGUGGAAGGAAAAUUGAUGGUAAGGAAUUUCCUUCCUAACACCAAAGGAAGGAGAGUCCACCUAGGACUAUAACUUAGGGUUGCUUGGGAGACAACCCAAGUCUUGUUUUCUUUUGCUUGUUUGUUUGUUGCAUUUUGCAGGGAAUGAGAGCAUGGAUUUUGGAGUCAGAGGUGUAUCUAAGGCCGCCAUGGUAAUUGGUAAAAGAAGGUCGACUCUUUCCUUUAAGUUAAUUCAUGCAUUUUUAGCAUAUUUUCUCUUUGUAGAACCUUUUGUUUUUUUUUCUUUUAUUCAUGCAUUGUUUUGUUAGAGUCGUUUUUGGGUCUUUACUUCCCUAUACUCACAUGUUUUUGCCCGUAGUUUUGCUCUCUAACAUGUUGCUAGUUUUGAAAACGUUUUUGUGAAUACUUAUGUUGUCUUUUGGGGAUGAGUGAUUGCAUGCUUUGGGGAAGAGAGGAGGAGACUUCGGUCUUCCGAGUGUUUCUUAAGGAUAGAGUUGGUGUGAGUCCAUAAGGGUCCAUCUUUGACCCUUCACCAUAUAAUUUCCCUGGAGGAUCCUGUCUCACUCGUACUUCUUGAUUCUGUAUUGAUUUCACUCUUUGCAUGCUUUGUGAUACUUGCACAAUUCUUGAGACUUGUAGGUUUUUGAGCUUCAGAGUUUGUUGGCUUGAACUUUGUCCCUAGUUGUCUCUUUUGAGCCUAUUGGAGAUUUCUUUGUUAGCUAAAUGAUUGGGAUGAAUGAUAGGUUGGAUUUUGGGGAGUGUUGGUCCUUGCAUUGUGUUGGAGCUAGUAAUUAAAGUUGAGAAUGUCUCUUGCCCCAAGUGUAAAAAAAAAAAGAAGAAAAAGAAAAAUAAAGGAAAAAAGAGACUCCUAGUCAAGUUGGAGUUGCAAAAAGAAAAAAAAAUAGAAGAAAAGAAAGUUGAAAAAGGGGUCAAGAGACUUGUGCUUAAAAAGUUUGUUGUUAAAGCUCCGGGGUUACUAAUAGGACCACACUCAAGAUGCUUGAAGCUCUAGCCUUCCUUAGGGACCAACCACCUUGUACUUCACCAAUCCAACAUUUCAACCCUUUAAAAGUCUCUUUGAAUUUGUGCAUGUUUGAUCUUUGUUGCUCUUGAGUGAAUGAUAUCCAAAACCUAUGAACUGCUUGUGUGCUCAGUGCACUAAAUAUAUAUCUCAUCCUAGGAAUUUUAGUUCUAUAUGUUUCUCAUGAAUGGACUCUGCACUCUUCUCUUUUCAAAAGAUGCAUGAAGUAGGUUGUGGGUCUUUCUCUUGGAACUAGCUGUGAUUAUUUUGUCCCCCUGUUUUUGUGAAGUAUUCCUUGUUGAGAGCACUGGUGUGGGAGCAUUUCUUGCGCUUGAGGGCAAGCGAGUGUUAUUUACGCUUGAGGACGAGCUGUCGUUGAGUAUAGUGGUGUGAUGACCCUAUUUUAGUAGUGUUUUUAGGGUCAUUUCUUUGUGUGUUUUGAGUCUUUUUGUUGAGUCUCAUGUAGUGUUUCAUGCAUUUUUAUAUUUUCUUUAGUCUUUAUUUGGCUUUGGUAAUUUAGUAGUUUUAUAGGGAGUUUUCUUGCAUUUUGAGUAAAGUUUAGGACUUGCAUGGUUUUAUUGUGUUAAUUGAAGGAUCUCAUGUGCUAAUAAGCUCUUUGAGCUUCUAGAAUUUUCCUUGGCUUGUUGGUUAAGUUUCAGAUCAGGAACUGAAGAAGGAAGAAGGCCAAUAAGCAUGGAAUUGAUGGAAAACUUAAAAAGGAUUGAAAAGAGGAGUUUCAGAAGCCAAAAAGCCCUUUUCAAGCGAGCUCAAGCGCCUAGGCGCUGGGGGAUGGGCGCCUAGGCGCCAAUUGGUCCAGAGAGCAUGUUUUUUAAGUGCAAUUGGCGCUCAGGCGCUCUGAAUUGGCGCCUGAGCGCCCAGACUCGACCUGUUAGCCUUUAAAUAGGCUUUUUGCCAUUUCUUUUGUAACUUUUGUCAUUUCUAUACAUUCCUAAAUAAGUUACAAGUAGGGUUAGGCUCUGGAGCUUGAGGAGAAGCAUUCUCCAAGUCCAUGUUCCAGGUUUUAUCCUUCUUUUCUUGUAUGGAUUCUAUAGCCAUGCUUGGCUAAAACCCCCUUUUGCUUUGGGUUCUUUGUAAGACUUUGAAUGUUUUAGCUAUCAAUCCUUUUCUAUUCAUGAUGUUCUGAGUAAACCCUUGAAUCUCACUUCUAUGCUUUAUCUUUCAAGCUUGUAUGCAUGCUAGCUUCUUACUUUUCUAUAAUCAUAACGAUAGUUUGUUAUAGGAUUGGGACUUGUUGUGAGAUUACCUCUUCUAUACUUGCUGCUAGGAAUAGAGGAAGGGUUGGGGUUUGUUGGCCUGAAUUGCAUGCUUAGUGCUUCUAACAAAUGUUUAGGUUGUCAAGGAAUUGAACCUAUCUUUUGAUUAGAAAGGGUUUUCUUUACGAGGCAUCGAUAGAUAACUAUCUAGGCUAGAACAUCAAGGAGAGACUCAGGAUUAAUUGAAUAGGGAGGUUUGCUAAAACUGAAUUAGUCGAACAAGAACCCAAGGCAAUCUCAUCUCUGUUUUUCAAUCGCUUUAUUACUUGAUUACUUGUCUUUUUGCAAACUCAAGAAACAACCAAUUAUUAAAACUGAAUUUUACUUGCUUUUCAACCUUGAACUUGAAUCUUAAACUGAAUUGCCACACCAAUUCCCUGUGGUUCGAUAAUUUAAAACCCGGAGGUAUUCGUACACUUGCGAAUUGACCAACAUAAAGCAGAAGUAAAAUUAACGGUUAGAAAUUAAAGACAUGAUUAUGAACAGUUAAUACACAAAAACACACGAUGGAGAAUAAGCACAUCUACACUCAUUACAACAGAUUGUCCGGUCGGGCACAAGGAACGAUGCAUCAGAAUAAACUGACACACGUUUGCUGUCUUGUCUCAGAGUAAGCACCAAUGGGUACUCAGCAUCUGACAAAGUUACCUUCUGAACUAGACAUCUUCUGAUAAAGAAGCAUCAUAGUCAGAGGUUCUGUUCCAUCUUCAUACUGAACAAAAGUCCAUAUUCAGAUUUUUCAGUAUAAAAUUAAAUCUAUCCUCUGCUAAGGGCUUUGUAAAGAUAUCUGCCCAUUGAUGAUCAGUAUCAACAAACUUCAGAAGAAGUACGCCCUUCUGAACAUAAUCUCUAAUAAAGUGAUACUUUACCUCAAUGUGUCACUACAACAAAAACAGCCUUUAGCGACAAUCUUAUAGCAGCAAUACCUCUCUUGUCGGUAAUUCAAUAAGAAAAUUCAAAACUUUGUGAUAAACAUAGAGAGGUCGGUAAUACUUAAUGUAUAUCAACAAUAAUGAUAAAAGCCACUAAACUUUCCCACUGAAACUCUUUUUUACGCGCGCGUUCCCUUUCUUUUUCCACAAAACUCUUUCUCUUUCGCUGAAACCGCUACCACCUCUCCGAUCUGAAGACUUGAAGCGAAGGUGAGGAUUCAAUUUCCCCUUUCUCCCAGAAACCGCUACCACCUCUGAGAUCUGAAGCUUCACGUUAUGGUGAUGGAGAUUACAUGAAGGUGAUGAAGAUCUGAAGCUUCGCAAAUGUUCUCUCUGUUUCUCUCACAGAAAUUCCGGAAGGUAAGUUUCCAGAUCUGAAAUCUCCACUGCAAUUUCGUUUCUGGUUCUGGAAUUCUCAUCCCAACGUCACUUGAAUUGUGGAAUCUGAAAUUUUCAGUUCGUUUUGUUGAAAAAUUCUUCAGAGAAUCAGAGAUAGAAAUUGCAAGAGAGAUAAUAGGGUUUUUGUGCAGAAGAGAGAAAGGGGCAUUUCCAUUUCAAUGUGAUUUUAGCUGCAUACUCUUUGAUUUAAGAAAUGAACAAAACAAUCAGGGUAUGUUUUUUUUUGGUAAAAUUUGAGUCCAGAGAGAAGAGCAGGCUCAACAAGUUAGUUAAGGGAAGAGUUUGAUGCAAUUUUGAGUCUCUUAAGUCUCCAUUAUGCUAUUUUAGUCUAACUAUUUUAGUUUGUAUCAUAGUCUCAAGUAUCAAGAGUUUGCUGCAAUUUUUGGCUAGAUAAGUUAAAAAAUGCAUCUAAAAUUUUGAUUUAAAACUCGUUAUUUUGAAUGAUUUAUUGUCAAAUUAGUUUCUUAUUGAAGCAUUGUUUUUUACAGGAUCAAACUACAUUUUAUAGUAUUAUGGCUAGGAAAGUUAACCGCAGGUUUGUCGAUGAACAACAUCAUGAUGAAGAAGUGCAGCCUUAUAUACUUCAAUUAAUGCAUGAAGAGAACUCUCACUCUGAAGCACAUGUUGUUGAAUCUAAUGAAUUGAUGAAUUCAGCUAGAACUAAUGAUGAACAAAAUGAUGAAGCAGGUGCUAUUAUUUUAUAGAAUAAUUUCUGUACUUUUAUAUUUGCUUGAAUUGAAUCCUGACAUUCAAAUGCUUUCAUAUUAGGUUCUUCAAAAACAAGAAAGGUCCGUGGGCCUACCUUAUUAAAAGAUAUAUGGAAUAUGCCUCGAGGGAAGACAAUUGAUGUGAGAUUCAAUACACGUAACCAAGCUAUAGGAAAGGAAGGUCGAAAGCUUGCUAGCUUUCUAGGAAUUAUAGCUAGAACACCACAAUCAACACCUUUAAACAUAGAAGAUUGGAGAUCAUUUGAUAAAAAUGAAAAGAGUAAAUUGGUGGAGCUUGUGAGGGUAUGGAAUAUCUUUACUUAAUCUUCAUUUAAUAUUGCUUUGCUUUUAUCAUGCAUAGUUUAACCUUGCAAUUAUUUAUUGUAUAUCUGUAGAAAAAGUUCUCAAUCCCUACAUGCGGUGAGGAAUUUGUCAAGAAAUCACUUGGGAAGAAAUGGAAGGAUUACAAAUGUGAUUUAAGGAGUAUGUAUACGACAAUGUAUAAGACCAGAGAUACCUUAUUGAAAAAUAGACCAAAUCGUAUACCUAGAGACCAAUGGAUUGGUUUGGUCUCUUAUUGGCUUUCUGAUAAAGUAAAGGUAACAGUUUUAAAAGAAGUCAUUUGGAAAAAUAUAAUAUGUUCUAAGUUUCUUAAUUCCUUGAGAUGCUUGAAGUGUUGGUGCAUAAGUUAGCCUUUUUUGUCUGAGUUCACAUGAUGGAAUCAAAUAUUGACUAAAUGAAUUCAAUAAUUUUAGUAACCAUGAAUUCUAGUUUCUGAAUCAAUUAAUUGUUACCUUGAUUUAUAGUAUUUUAUGGAACUCACACAUUGUUUCUCUUUAGUUUUUGUAAAUAAAUAGUGAUGGUGUUUUUUAUUUUACAAUAACAGAAGCGUAGCCAGACAAAUAGAAGCAAUAGAACAAAGCAAAAGAUUCCUCACACUGGAGGAUCCAAGAGUAUCGGAACUCUAAUGGAUGAACAGGUAUUAAUUAUAUAUAUAUAUAUAUAAUUUUUCUUAAGAACUUGUUUAAAAUCAAUUAUUUUGUAGGCCAAAGAUGGGAUAGAGCCUACGCGAGCAGAAGUUUUCAUUUUAACUCAUAAGAAACGCAAAGACGGUAGACCAUUAGAUGAGGAGUCUUCUAAAACAGUGGUAAGUUGAAAUUAUAUUAUCCUAUUAUAGCUAAAUUAACUACUAGUUGGCGAUGUGUCUCUCUAGUUCUGAUUUGGUCAACGCCAUAAAUUUAAAAAAGUGGAUAGGUGGUAGAGUAAACCAAGAGAAUCAAACCCAAUCCUAAACUAGUUUUGUCAUCAUUCUGAUUAUAAUGCUUAGCCAUUUAACAUACAUAAAGAACAGAAUUGAAUAUAAUUCUUGUCUAUAUGAGAAUUUAUUGUUGUUCAUCUACACAUACUCUAGUUUGUAUCAGACUACUUAGUGUGAUAAAUUGGACAUUUAUUUAGUAGUUUGUAGUAGUGCCAUUUCUUAGAUUGCAGAGCAAAAUGUUCCUCUUGUUUUUUUAUGCCAGUCUCAUUCACUCACCCUCAUUAGGAUAUGAUACAAGAAAAGUUGAACAACGAAAGGACCUCUACUGAACAAUCUGAUGGUAGCGUUGCUUGGGAAGGAGAUGUGUAUACCCAAGUAUUUGGACCUGAAAAAAGUGGCUAUAUUCGUGGUUUAGGACUUGGUCCAACUCCUUCUAUAUUGUGGGGUAAUAAGUCUUUGUCAGGGAAUAUCUCUAGGAGCAAUAUGUCAAAUGACAUGCUCCAAAGGUUAGAGCAAGAGAUGAAGCAGUUGAAGGAAAGGCAUGAUGAAGAGAUGACGAUGAUGAAACAAAAUCAGGAAAGAUUGUUGUCAGAAUUAUCUUUCAUGAGACAAGUGAUGUGUAAAUUUAUUCCUACGGAGUCAUCUAUUCUGCAUAACCUUAGCAGAAGCUUAUUUGGACGAGUAAGACAUUAAAAGCUUAUCAACAUAUUUGUUAAACUUUGAUUGUAAAAUACAAGUUUAAUAUAUCAUGUCUUAAUAUUAUGUUAUUAGGUCCCAUCUGAUGCUAACAGUGGUCAUGAAGGAGCACCCCAAGCACCACACAAGUCAUCCUGAUUGCACAGUGUUGAUCAAAAUAUUGAAGAUGCUCAAGGUAUUGCACUUGUAUUCAUUUUUUAUCCAAACAGAAUUUUAUGAAAAUGAACAAAGAUACUUAUAGCAUUUGGUUUAUUGAACACAAUUUUUGUGAACUAGAAGUCACUGCUACUUGUCACCUACUUCCAACUGCAGACAGACCAUUCAGUUCAUAUUUUGCUUUCAUUGACAUUGUCUCAUGGUAUUGCACAUGAACAUGUGUUAUUUUUCAUUUACAUUAUAUUAUGAACUGUGAUUUGUAUAUAUUUAAAUAAUAUAUUCAUUUUAUGUUAUCAUUUCAGGGCAUAAUUUUUGAUGUUGAGAAAUCAAACCAUGGAAGAUUUCACUGGGGGAUUAAGCGCUGAAGUAUUUGUUCACGAAUUAUAUACUUUGCAGAUAGUACAUAUUACUAUUAGCCUUGGAUAUUAGUAUACUUUAUGUUUUGAAACUCAACAACUUGUAAUAGGAGCACUUAAUAGUAUAGGGUGGAUUUAAUUGGUGAGAUAUUUUCUCAAUGCAAUUAUUAUAUUUGCAUAAUAUAAAUUGUUAAGUAUUGUUGUUACUUGUUACUAUACAAAGUAAUAAAAAAAUUAGCAUUACUGUUCUCUUUAUAUCACUUAAAAUUUUAUUUCUUAAAUUUUCGAAAUUAAGGGUAAUUCCUGACAUCUUGGGCUGGCAAUGCUGAUGAGUUUUUAGUGGCAAUAAUAAAUGCCAACGAAGGAUUCAGAGGUGGCAAAAUUAAAAAGUGUUUUAGUGGCAAUACUUAAAGCCAGGAAAAAUUGCCGCUAAAAAUGAAAAUAAUUUCCCGGCCGUUCAUGUCCCCUUUACCGGCGCCCGGUACAAUAGUCGGGAUUGCUUUUACCGACGUCGCAUACUCCGGCUGAACACAUAUAGCCGGUAAAGUUGUUAGCGGCCAUUUUUAUUGCCGCUAAAAGCAAUAAUAAUUGCCACUAAAAACGAGUUUUGUUGUAGUGUGUUUUGCCCUUGAAUGUAAGAUUAGAUUCUUACUGAGUGAGAUUGCAACAGUAUUGUCACAGUAGAUUGGGAUGUUGCUCUCAAGGAUUUGAUAAUCUUCUAAUUGAUGUUCCAUCCAGAUCAUCUGAGUACUGCAAAUAGCUGCUGAGAUAUAUUCUGCCACUGCAGUGGAUAGUGCAAUAAUAGACUGCCUCUUGCUUGCCCAUGAGACUAAGUUACUUCCCAGAAAUUGACAAUUUCUAGAAGUACUUUUCCUUUCAGUUCUAUCUCCAGCAUAAUCAGCAUCACAGUAACCUGAAAGCUUAUACUAUGAUGUUUUCUUAUACAUCAAGCAAAGGUUAGUGGUACCUUUCAGAUAUCUGAGAAUUCUCUUAACAACAGUUAAGUGAGUUUCUCUCAUAUCUGAUUGGAAUCGAGCACAUAAAUAUACACUAAACAGAAUAUCUAGCCUAGAUGCAGUUAAGUAUAGAAGUGAUCCUAUCAUACCACGAUAGAGCUUCUGACAUACUUUUCCACUGGCAUCUUCUUUCUCCAGAAUGCAUGUAGGAUGCAUUGGAGUCUUAGCAAUCGUAGAUUCUGUCAUAUUGAACUUCUUCAGAAGUUCCUUUGUGUACUUGCUUUGAUGGAUGUAAGUUGCUUUUGGUUUUUGAUCAACUUGUAUUCCCAGAUAGUACUUAAGUUCUCCCAUCAUACUCAUUUCAAAUUCAGCCUGCAUCAUCUCAAAAAAUUCUUUGCAAAGAGAUGAAUUAGCAGAUCCAAAUAUAAUAUCAUCAACAUAAAUUUGCACAAUUAAGAUAUCAUCUUUGUAAGUUAAUGCAAAAAAGAGUUGUAUAUACUUUACCCCUUACAAACUCAUUUUCCAGAAGGAAUGAGCUUAGUCUCUCAUAUCAUGCUCUGAGAGCUUGCUUCAGACCAUAGAGAGAUUUCUUCAAUUUGAAAACAUGGUCAGGGUUCUUCUCAUCUUCAAAACCAGGAGGUUGGUGCACAUACACUUCCUCUGAGAUGUAUCCAUUCAGGAAGGCACUUUUAACAUCCAUCUGAUGAAGAAUUAUGUUGUGAUUCACUGAGAAUGAGAUCAGCAGUCUGAUAGCUUCCAAUCUUGCUACUGGAGCAAAUGUUUCAGUAUAAUCUAUCCCUUCUUGCUGACUGUAGCCUUGAGAAACUAGCCUUGCUUUGUAUCUGACUACAUCUCCUUUUUCAUUCAGCUUGUUUCUGAAUACCCAUUUGGUUCCAAUGAUGUGAGCAUCUUGAGGUUUCUUGACAAGGUUCCAAACGUCAUUCUUGGAGAAUUGAUUCAGUUCUUCUUCCAUUGCUAGAAUCCAGUCUUUGUCUUGAAGAGCUUCAUCAAUUGACUUUGGUUCAAUUAAGGAUACCAAUCCUUUCAGACUAAGCAGAAUCUCUUCAGAGGGUCUGAAUGCUGAUCUGGUUCUGACUGGUUCAUCUUUGUUUCCCAUAAUCAACUCCUUAGGGUGAGAGGCAAUAAUUCUGAUAUUCUUCUGAAACUGGGAAUCAGAGGGACUAGCUUCCUCUGGAGAGUCUGCCUCUGGCUCAGCUUCCUCUGGAGCUUUGCCUUUAUCAGAAACAUUUACACUCAUAUCUGCAAACUUUUCAACUAGCUUUGACUGAUCAGGGUCAAGCUUAUCAUCAAAUCUAACAUGAAUAGAUUCCUCAAUAGUUUUAGCAUCAGUAUUAUAAAUUCUAAAGCCUUUAGAACGAUCAGAGUAAUCAAGUAAUGGACAUUUAGAAGAUUUAGAAUCAAACUUAUGCAAUUUAUCCCUAGUAUUCAGAACAUAGCAAACACAACCAAAAGGAUGAAAGUAAGAAAUGUUGGGCUUUAUAUUCUUCCACAAUUCAUAAGGAGUCUUAUUCAGAAUUGGUCUGAUAGAGAUCCUGUUCUGAAUGUAACAUGCUGUGUUUACUGCCUCUGCCCAGAAGUGCUUUGCCAUGUCAGUUUCUUGAAGCAUGGUUCUAGCCAUCUCCUGAAGAGUUCUAUUCUUCCUCUCAACAACACCAUUUUGUUGAGGAGUUCUAGGACAAGAGAAAUCAUGUGCAAUCCCAUAGGAAUCAAACAGACUCUCAAACUUGUCAUUCUCAAACUCUCCACCAUGAUCACUUCUAACACGCACAAUCCUGCAAGCCUUCUCGUUUUGCACUUGGGCAAUAAAGGUAGAGAACACAGAAUGAGACUCAUCCUUGCAGGAUAGAAAUUUUACUCAUGUCCAGCGGCUAUAGUCGUCAACAAUGACCAUCCCAUAUCUUUUGGCACCUAAAGACUCAGUUUUCACUGGUCCAAACAAGUCGAUAUGCAGAAGUUCCAACGGCCUUGAGGUGGAAACAACAUUCUUUGCCUUGAACGAGACUUUUGUAAAUUUUCCUUUCUGACAUGCUUCACAAAGAGCGUCUGAAGAGAACUUCAAAGUGGGUAAGCCCCUGACAAGGUCAAGCUUACUCAGCUGAGAAAUCUUUCUCAUACUGGCAUGCCCUAACCGUCUAUGCCAUACCCAUUGCUCCUCAUUAACAGAAAGAAGGCACUUUACAUUCUAAGUUUCAAACUCAGAUAAUUUGAUCUUAUAAGUGUUCUUCCUCUUCUUGCUGCUAAACAGAACAAAACCAUCGAUCUGACUUACAGCCCUACAAGACUUUUGAUUGAAAAUAACAUCAUAACCCUUGUCAGCUAAUUGACUUAUUGACAAUAAGUUGUGAGUUAAACCAUCUACCAACAGAACAUUAUCAAUGCAUGGACUAUUAUCAACACCAAUAGUACCAUAACCAACAAUUUUACCCUUCUCGUUGCCACCAAAGCCAACUUCGCCUCCAGGCUUAAGUUUUAGCUUUUGGAACUUACGCCUUUCUCCCGUCAUGUGACGCGAGCAUCCACUGUCCAGAUACCAUGAUUGGUGUUUCAGUGGAGCGAUCAAGGAUAUCUGUAACAUAGAUAAUCUUAUCCUUAGGUACCCAUUUUCUGGGUCCUUUCUUGUUAGUUACCUCAGAGGUUCUGACAACCUUAGGUUUCUCAACAAGAUAAUGUAAAGGAAUUCGAAAAUGAUAUUUAGACAUAGAGAAAGUUCCCUUUUUGAGAGGGGGGUCAGCAACUUUAACAGGCAAUGGUUCAGGCAAUAUAGUACCAGAGGGUACAAAAUGUUCAUACAGAGGUUUAGCCUUAGGCAUAGGAGGCUCAUUUCUACUGGGUCUAGAAUAGCCAAUGCCAUACAUUCCAUUUCUGCUUACGCCAUAGAUCAUUGAAGCCAUCAAGCUUCUGUCUACGCUUUUAGCUAGGAAUCUUUGAAAAGAUUUUUCAUAUUUGGAUUCAUUCUUAAUAUCAGAGGCAUCACAAGCAACAACUUCUUCUAACUUAACAAUCUGGUUUUUGAGCACAGAGUUAGAGUUUACUAAAGCAUGAUUAUUCGCUUUUAACUCAGAAAUAAUUUUCUCAUGUUCAGUAGAAGUCUUAGAAACAGCAGAGAAAUCAUAUUUCAACUUUUUAUGCUUAGUCAGGAGAGAGUUAUAUUUAUCCAUGAUUUCAGACAAAGCACAUUUAAGUUCAGAGGUUGAGAAAGAAGCGAAUACCUCAUUUUCAUCGCCAGAGUUUGGAUCUCCCUCUGAUGCAGAUUCAGAUUUAAUUGCUUCGUUCGACUCUGCUUCCUUGUCCUUGACAAUAGCCAUGAGUCCUUCAACAACUUCUACAUCAGAGUCAACAUCCUCUGACUCUGAUUCAUCAAAAGUCACCAUGAGACCUUUCUUAGCUUUGAAAUGCUUCUUUGGCUUCUUGUCCUUUUUCAGCUUUGGACAAUCACACUUGUAGUGCCCUGGUUCUUUGCAUUCAAAACAUGUGACUUCCUUUGAUGAAGACUUCUUCUGACCAGAUGAGGAUUCAUGCUUUCCUUUAGCCUUUCCAGAGCCUCUGUACUUGCUCUACCCGUGCUUCCAGAUGCGGUUGAGCUUUCUGGAGAUCAAGGUUAGCUCAUCUUCACAAGAAUCUUCAGAGGUUUCUUCAGAUUCUUCUGCUUUAGCUUGGAGAGCUUUAGCCUUUUCAUAUUUGGAUUUCAAGGCUAUAGACUUCUUCUUAUGAUCCUGAUGUUCAGCACGCUUCAGUUCAUGACACUUCAGUAUGCUUAUGAGUUCUUCCAAACUCUUCUGCUCAACAUCUCUUGUGAGAUCCAAGGAAGUUAUCAAAGGCAUCCAGCUUUCAGGAUGACCUCUAAGGAUCCUCAUGAUAUGAUCAACAGUGGUGUAGCUUUUGUUGAGGGGUCUUAUUCCAGCAAUGAGCAACUGAAAUCUGGAAAACAUAUCCUUAAUGGACUCACUGGGUUCCAUUUGGAAGGAUUCAUACUUCCUGAUCAAAGACAACGCCUUUGAUUCUUUCACCUUCUUAUUUCCUUCAUGGGUCAUCUUCAAGGAGUCAAAGACCCUUAGCAUACUCACGGUCUGUUAUAUUUUGGUAUUCUUCAUAGGAAAUAGCACUGAGAAGAAUAGUUCUAGCUUUGUGAUGCAGCGAGUAAAGCUUCUUCUGCUCAGCAGUCAUCUCUGUUCUGGAGAUCUUCUUGCCAUCAUCAUCAACUGGACGCUCGUAGCCAUCCACUAUGAUAUCCCAGAGAUCUGCAUCAAAGCCUAGAAAAAAGCUUUCGAUUCUGUCAUUCCAGUACUCAAACCUUUGACCAUCAAACAUAGGAGGCUUUGCACUGUAAACAUCUUUUUACGCUUCACUGGUGGUAGCCAUCUCAGUUUUUCACACCGGCCCGGAUCACUGAACACUGUUAGGUGUGGUAAUCAGAACUUGCGCUCUGAUACCAAUUGAAGGUAUGAAAAACGAUAGAAAGGGGGGGGGUUGAAUAGCAUUUUCAAACUAAAACUUUUCCCACUUGAGAUUUUAACAAAUCUCUUCAAACACAGAAGAUAAAAGUGCUAAGAUAAGAGUUGAGGAAAGCACACAAUGAUUUUAUCCUGGUUCACUUGAUAAAUCCCUCAAGCUAAUCCAGUCCACACGUUAAGAUGAUUUCUUCCUUCUUAGAAUGAAGGCAAUCCACUAAUCAGAGUUUGUUACAACUGCACUUGCAACCUGCAAAGUGACUAACAAUACAAUGACUUAGCUAUCACUAAGAUUCACUCUCUUAGUCUUCUCAAGGAUCUAACCAACCUAGGUCUCCUUAAGGAAAAACAAACAACUGUUUGAGAGUUUGGGUUUACUAAGAAAUGCUUCUCAGAAAGCUAAAGUAAACACAAUGUAAUCAGUUUGAAGAAAGAUUGCUAAGAGAAUAUUUGAAUAUUGCUUGAGCUUGAACAUGGUUUCUUAGACGACAUCUUUCAUCUUCAGCCUCUUUAUAUACUCCAAGGAUUAGGGUUUAGACGUUGCAUGGAAUACUAACGUUGGAGGGCAGAUCUGGGAUUUCCAGGUUCUAUUGUGGCUGAACACGUUAGGUAAGGUCGUCAGGAAUAGUACAGUUGCUUUUGUACUUGGAUAGCGACUUGACCUUUAACCUAGAUGACUUCUAAUCAGAGUGACGCUUCAUGUUGGAACUUGUGGAGCUUGGUGAUCAGAGUCAGAGGGAAGCUUUGAUCCUCUGACCUUGUAACUUCUGCUUCUGAACUCAAAGGUGAAGUACUUGGUCUUCAGAGCCAGCUUACUCUUGGACUUCAGAGUCUUCACUUCUCAGCUUCUGGACCUUCAGAGCCUCUGGACCUACAGAGCUUCUGGAUCUUCAGUACUUCUGGUCUUCAGAACUUCAAGUGAUCUGAAUCCAUAUCAGAGCUUAACAAUCUUCAGAUCUUAUGAAGCAUAUUCUAUUGUUCAGAUUGAACAAAGUGAGUGCGAAAGCGUUGCGUAGGUUACUCUUUGAGCAUAGUGCUUCUGAUUUAUGUGUAAUUUGACCAGAGUCGGAGCCUGUCAUUUAAACACUCAGAAAACAACGUUAGAGUACCAUAAUAUUUCAUACAUAAUAGCUAACAUGUAACCAUCAAAACAUAGAGUUGUACUACAUGAUCAAAACUUGAUCUUACAACUUCCAGAAAUACCCUAGCUUGAUCACCAAGUAAUCAAAACGAAGCUUCACAUAAAACCUAGCCAACUCAUUGCAGGUUUCGCAGGGACAGAUGUCACAGGCAAGAUAUUGUGACAUCGGGUCCGACAUGUUGGCCAAAAACUUAACUUAGCUAAAAUGCAGACAACAUAACAAAGGAACAACAAUCUCCCCCUUUGUCAAAUUUUAGCUAAUACAAUCCACUACCAUAAAGAACUCUUCAGCAGCUUGGAACUAGAAAAACCUUGAAUCAACAUAGAAGAGCAUCCACACAAACAAGGUAGCUUACACAUCAACAUAGCUAGUAGCAUCAGUUAUGCACAUUUCAAUCUCAAAACCAUUCUCAGUGCAGCAGGUCACCAUAUCAGAGUUUUAGCACAGCAGCACACAAUCAACUAUUACAAACAACAAGAUGUUGUUUGAAUAGAACACACAACUGCACAGUAGCAAGAAGCUACCAAACCACAAUAGCAGAAAGCCAUAAAGAACCAACUACCAAAUACCAGAGAUAACCAAAUACUACUAAUUACUCCCCCUUAUUAGCAUAAUUUGGCAAAGGUACUCAUAACAGAAUAGCAUCCAAGUGCUUACCAGAGCUAUCCACAGAAGUCAUCAGCACCAUAUUCAAGAAUUAUACAGACCAGGAGCAAAUAAGGAGCGCACAUAGCCACAUAGGGCUCAAAUACAUCCAAAAGAAAAAGAACAAAUCAAAGAGAUAUGCUCUGAGUUGCAGAACUCUCAAAACCAGUCACAUCCUCUUCAUCUUCAUCUUCAUUGUCUUCCUCUUCUUUUUCCUCUACAACCUCCUCAGUCUCAGCAUCUUCUUCUUCAUCAGCAGCAGCCUCAGCUUCCUCUUCUUCACUUUCUUCCUCAGCAGCAGCAGUUGCAACAUUUGACAUAGUCUUGAUGAGUUGAUCAACAUUGAAUUUUCUGACUUUGCAAGCCUGAAUAGUGUCACCAAGAGACUUGGAGACAGCCUUCAACUCAGCCAAGAUGUCUUCCUUGCUAGAACCAACUGCCUUAGUGCCACUGGAACUGGCAGUUCCCUUUGCUGCAGAGAGCACAAUGUCUGGAACAUGUGUCCCAGCAAACAACCGGUAAUCAAACUUGAGAGGCAGGGAAUUCUUACCUUGAGACUCAUCAGCCCUCACAAUAGUAAGUUGUUGAUGUGUAAUGAUCUCUGAGAGAAGACAAGGAAACAGAAUAGGCAGCUUCACAGUAUAUGAUCCAGCAUGCUUGAGAGUCUGCUCAAAAACCAGCUUUCCAAAAUCAAACUCACCCCCAGUUCCAACCAAAUAAAGCAUUUUGGCCAGAGGUGGAGUCACACCAGACAAGUGAUUGGUGGGCAUCCAAUUUGCAGUACCAAUCUUGUAGAGAACAACAUAUUUGGCAGUAAGCCUCCCAGAUGGAAGCAAUCCCUUCUUAGGCCACUUCCUGACCAACUUCCCGGUAAGGGUUGUAGCAAAGGCUCCCCCCCACAGCAACAGGGCUUCUGCUCAAAAACUCAUUGAUCACUUCAGGAGAGAAGUUGAUGCACUUCCCCCUCACAAACAUCUUCCUGUACUCGGCACUGGAAGCAUCUUCACAAUCAGCAGGGAUGUUCACAAUGAAGUCCCUAACAAGCUUGUCAAAACAUCUGCCAAGAUCCUGGACAGUCUUCAUCAAACCAGCAGCAGAGAUAACCUCCAUUAUUUCCUUGAGUUCCAAGGCAUCUUCAUGUAGUUCCCUUUUAAUAGCAAGCCUCCUUUGAACCACAUAUUUCCAUCUCUGAGCAGAGUUUGGAAAAUGAAAGGACACAUUGUCCACAGGAGCAUCAGGAACAUUUUGAGGAAUAUUCUUACCUUUCAUCCGUUUUCUGGCAGUGGUUGAGAUGUCUGGGACAUCUGGCACGACAUCGGCCUCGAAGUCAGGAUCAGACACAUGUCUUCUUUUCUUUCCAGUAGAAGGUGAUGACGUCUUGUAUUUCUUUGUCUCCUUCCUAGGUUUUGGAAUAUGAGAACUUCUGGAAGUCUUUGGAGUCGUAGCAGCAGAUCCUUCGUUCUUCUGCUUCGUUAUGUCUGCAACCUUCCUUUUGGCACCACUAACAGGAACAUGGGACUCUUUGAUGAGCAAUUCUCCAUCAGAGUCUUCAUCAGCAGAUGCAACCACCUUCUUUUCCUUACCCUUUUUGGUGGAUGAAGUAGGGGUUUUUUGAACAGGAACCUCCUCAGAGGAAGAAACGUCAUGUGCAGAGGUUUCAUUCUCAUCGUGCUCCUUUUGACCCGAAGCAUGAGACUUGACAAUAGAACCAGAGGGAGAGGAUUGAUGUGUUAGUUCAACAUCUGGUGCAACAUUUGCAGCAGUGGCUACAUUUGCAAGUUUCUCAAGAGCCUCAUUAUCUUCUUGAUUCACAGCUUCUGGAAGAUUUGGAUUUUGAUCAUCCUCAUCAUCAGAGAUAAUUUGUAUCCCCAAAUUCUUACUGGGUCCUCUUUUAGGAGCCACAUGCUUCAUACGAAUGCUUCUUCUUCGUGGUUGGGCUGACCCAGUUGGAGCAUGAGUAGCACUUGCAGCUUUAUGGGGAACCCUAGAGGGAUUUGAAGAAGAUGCAGUGGCACCCACAAUCUUCACAUUGAGGUCUGGGCUGAUGAUCUUUGAACCUCCCUUCUUCUUCUUGCCAGAAUCAUGAGUCAUUGUGAAGUGAACUGUAGAGAAAACUGAAAAAAAUAACCGUUGAAGGUUAGAGAGAGAAAACAGUCACACUUUUGGACAACACACUGAAAAGGAUUGAUGAAUCCCAAUACGCGAUCAUGGGCAGUUAUAUAAUGAACAAUAUAGUCGUUGCCCGUGACAAGUGUCAUUAACUUCUACAAGUCAGUUAGGACACAAAUCCCUAACUUUCCUCUUAAUUUCUCAAAUUUUGCUGCAUCCAAUGCUUUUGUAAAAAUGUCAGCUAACUGCAACUCAGUUUCCACAUGUUCAAGAGUGAUAAUCUUUUCUUCCACCAAUUCUCUAAUGAAAUGAUGACGAAUAUCAAUGUGUUUUGUUCUACUAUGCUGGAUUGGAUUUUUGGAAAUGUUGAUAGCACUCAGGUUGUCACAGAACAAUGUCAUGACAUCUUGUUUGACAUCAUAUUCCUUCAACAUUUGUUUCAUCCACAUUAAUUGGGUGCAACCACUUCCAGCGGCAAUGUACUCUGCCUCAGCUGUAGACAAGGAAACACAGUUUUGCUUUUUGCUGAACCAAGAAAUGAGAUUAUUUCCCAAGAAGAAACACCCCCCUGAGGUGCUUUUUCUAUCAUCUGCAUUUCCUGCCCAAUCUGCAUCACAAUAACCUAUCAACUUAGGAUCAGUGUUGUGAGCAUAAAAAAUACCAUAGUCAAUAGUUCCACUGAUGUACUUAAUGAUCCUCUUGACUUGUAGAAGAUGACUUUCCUUAGGUGCAGCUUGAUACCUAGCACAAACCCCAACUGAGAAGGCAAUAUCAGGUCUGCUAGCAAUGAGAUAUAGCAAACUUCCAAUCAUGCUUCUGUAUAAGCUUUGAUCAACAUCUACUCCAUUCUCAUCCUUAGUCAAUUUGACAUGAGUUGCUGCAGGAGUUCUCUUGUGUGUUGAAUUUUCCAGACCAAUUUUUUUAACUAAUUCCUUAGCAUACUUACUCUGAGAAAUGAACAUAGAGUCAUCCAUCUGUUUUACUUGCAAGCCCAGAAAAUAGUUUAGUUCACCUACCAUGCUCAUCUCAAACUCAAAUUUCAUUUGUUUGACAAAAUGUUCUACCAUCUGGUCUGACAUUCCGCCAAAGACAAUGUCAUCAACAUAUAUCUGCGCAAUCAUCAACUUUCCUUUGACACUCUUUACAAAUAAGGUCUUAUCAAUUCCACCUUUGUUGUAACCAUUGCUAGUUAGGAAUUCAGUAAGCCUUUCAUACCAAGCUCUUGGUGCCUGUUUUAAUCCAUACAGUGCCUUUCUCAACUUGUAAACAUGUUCUGGAUAAGUUGAGUCAGUGAACCCUUUUGGCUAUUCAACAUAGACUUCUUCAUUCAAAUAACCAUUCAAGAAAGCACUUUUAACAUCCAUUUGAAACAAUCGGAACUUUAGAAGACAUGCCACUCCAAGCAGAAGUCUGAUGGAUUCUAAUCUAGCAACUGGUGCAAAAGUUUCAUCAAAGUCCACUCCUUAAAUCUGAGUAUACCCUUGAGCUACUAGCCUGACCUUGUUUUUUGUGACGUUGCCACUUUCAUCUGACUUGUUCCUAAAAAUCCAUUUGGUACCUAUAACGUUUACACCAUCUGGUCUAGGCACUAAAUUCCACACAUCAUUUCUUUUAAACUGAGCCAAUUCUUCCUGCAUAGCAUUUAUCCAGUAUUCAUCUGUGAGGGCUUCCUUGACAUUCUUGGGUUAAAUUUUUUAGAUGAAACAACCAUUUGCAAUGAUUUCUCUGGACCUUGUAGUUACCCCUGUGUUAGGAUCUCCUAUGAUGUUUUCUUUAGAAUGAAUCUUUUGAAUUCUGAUAGAGGGUCCUUUGUUCUAUGGUGAUGUGCUUUCAUUUUCAUCUUCAGAUUCACUGUCUGAUGCUAUGUCAGUGACAUGUGGUCUGACAACGGACUGAGGUGGAAGAUCUUCUUCAAUAUCCUUUGUAACUUCAGUUUCUUCCAAUUUAUCAUCAACCACUACAUUUAUGGAUUCCAUCAUUGUCUUGGUGCGAGAGUUGUAUACUCUAUAUGCCCUACUGUUUGUAGAGUAUCCCAGAAAAAUGCCUUCAUCACUCUUUGGAUCCAUCUUUCUUCUUUGCUCUCGAUCAGCUAGUAUGUAACAUUUACUUCCAAAAACAUGAAAGUAUUUUACAGUAGGUUUUCUCCCUUUCCAUAACUCAUACAAAGUGGAAGUAGUUUCAUAUCUAAUUGUCACCCGAUUGUGAAUGUAACAAGCUGUAUUCAUUGCUUCAGCCCAGAAGUGAUAAGGAAGUUUCUUGGCAUGCAGCAUUUCUCUGGCAGAUUCAUGCAAUGUUCUAUUCUUCCUUUCUACCACUCCAUUUUGUUGAGGAGUAAUAGGUGCUGAGAACUCGUGACCUAUUCCUUCACUGGCACAAUAGUCUGAGAAUCUACUAUUUUCAAACUCCUUGCCAUGAUCACUUCUGAUUUUGACAAUGCCAUGACCCUUCUCUCUCUGGAGUUGUUGACAUAGUCCUUUGAACACAUCAAAAGUGUCUGAUUUUUCUGCAAUAAAAUUCACGCAGGUGUAUCUUGAAAAGUCAUCAACACAGACAAAAGCAUACCUUUUUCCUCCAAUACUUUCUACUUGCACUGGCCCCAUGAGAUCCAUGUGAAUAAGUUCCAGUAUUCUGGUUGUUGCCACAUGUUGCAUCUUCUUGUGAGAGGCUUUUGUUUGUUUUCCAACUUGGCAUUCCCCACAGAUUUUUCCUUCUUCUAUCUUCAAGAUUGGUAGACCUCUGAUAGCCUCCUUUGAGAUUAUCUUCCUCAUGCUCGUUAUAUUGAGAUGUCCAAGCUUUUGGUGCCAUAGCUUGACUUCCUCUUCCUUGGUUAUCAAACAUCUUGAGGACAUAGAUUUGUACUGUGAGAUCCACAUGUAGCAAUUAUCCUUUGACCUUGCACCUCUCAUGACAACUUCACCAUUUCCAUCUGUUACUUGACAUCCAGUUUUGCAGAAUGUAACAUCUAGAUCCAAGUCACAUAGCUGACUUAUGCUUAUCAGAUUUGCUGCCAGGCCUUCUACUAGCAAGACAUCAUCCAGCUCUGGAGAUCCACUACUAACAAGCUUUCCGGAUCCUUUGAUUUUUCCUUGAGCACCAUCACCAAAAGUAACAUUACUGGUGGAGUGUGGUUUUACAUCACCAAGAUAAUUCUUUACUCCAGUCAUAUGCAUGGAACACCCACUAUCAAAAUACCAAUCCUCUUUUGAAGAAGCUCUCAGAGAGGUAUAUUCAACUAGAGCAGAUGUGUUGAUCUUAGGCUUCCACUUCUUCUUCUUUAACUCAAUAGAGUUAAAUUUAGCUGAACUUCUUUUUGGAAACCCAUGUAGCCUGUAGCAAUAAGGUUUUAUGUUGCCAUACCUCCCGCAAUGGUGACAUUUCCAUCCGGUUUUGUUUCUUUUCUGUGAUUGAGGAUAGGAAUAUGGAAUCUGAGAAUGCACAUGUUUCACACCAUGUUGUGACAUCUGGCUUGACAUGUGAAAUUCAGUUUUCCUUUCAGCAGGUACAAACUAAUGAGUGACCUUCUUGUCAUCAUCUGGUGUAGAGUCACUCACAUAUCCUAGUCCUUUCACAUCCCAGGCGGUUUUUGCUGUUUCUAGCAUGAGAUCAAACAUAUCAGUUCCAUUAUUCAGCAUGCGUACAGAUUUAACCAAACCUUCCAAUUUGGAUUUCAAGAUAGAUGCUUCCUCCUGAAGAUCUUCAUUUAGAAUUAGGAGUUCUUGUUUUUCCUUCUCAAGCUUUGUGACAGUUUUGUCCAGUUUCCUACCAUAGUGCAAGCCUCAUGCCAUUUUUUAAAUAAGAGCUUGUAUGCAGCAGCAAGUUCUUCAUCUGAGAUCCCUUCAUCACUAGAGUCACUAUCAGUGUUGUAUUUUACUGUCAAUCCCAUUACUGGAUGUUCAUUUUCUUCCUCAGAAUCAUCAUCUGACCAUGUUGUCACCAUUCCUUUUGCUUGCCUUUUCAGAUAUGUUGCACAUUUUGUUCUGAUAUGACCAAAACCUUGGCAUUCAUGACAUUGUACCCCUUUUGCUUUUCUUGCUCUGUCUUCUUCUCUGUUCUUGGGAGCCAUUCAUGUGUCCUUGCUGGUUUCAGACCUGUUGUCAGUAACAUUUGGUCUAGAUCCUCUGUCAAAACUUCUCAUGACUUUGUUGAAUGUUCUCCCAAGCAAGGCUAGUGCUUCUUCCAGAUUUUCAUUUGUGUCUCCACCAUUUAGACUUCCUUUUCCCAGAUUUGACACAAAUGCCAUGCUCUUGUUCUUUUUCUCAGACCUAUCAUUGAUGGACAUUUCAAAGGUUUGUAAUGACCCAAUUAGUUCAUCCACUUUGAUGCUACUAAUGUCUUGUGCCUCAUCAAUAGCAGUGACCUUCAUGUCAAAUUUCUUAGGUAAAGACCUGAGGAUUUUUCUGACCAAUUUCUCAUCUGUCAUGGGUUCUCCUAGUGCAAAAGAUGCAUUUGCCAUAUCACGCACACACAUAUGAAACUCAGAGAUUGCUUCUUCCUCCUUCAUCUUGAGAUUUUCAAAUUGAGUAGUUAACAGUUGAAGUCUUGAUAAACGAACUCUGGCUGUACCUUCAUGAGCAACCUUGAGAAUCUCCCAUGCAUCCUUAGCAGUAGUACAAUUAUGAAUCAGUCUGAACAUGUUCUUGUCAACACCAUUGAAAAUAGCAUUAAGAGCCUUAGAGUUUGCAGCAGCUUCUUCAUCUUCAGUCUUGCUCCAAUCUACUUCAGGUUUGAGUUCAAUAGUUGUGGUUCCUUCCUCGGUUUGCACUGGAUGAGUCCACCCUUUGAGCACCGACUUGUACACCCUUCCAUCAUCAAUAGAUCUAAGAAAUGCAAUCAUGCGAGCCUUCCAGUAGUCAUAAUUUGUUCCAUCAAGCAUAGGUGGCCUGUGAAUAGAACCCACAUCCUUACCGUUGUCCAUGAUACCAGAAAAGUAAAUCCCUGGAGCUUACCCAAUCAGAACAGGGUGCCUGCUCUGAUGCCAAUUGAAAUUCUGGCACACGCGGACAGAUGUUCUACCAGAUGUCUAAGACAUCUUGUACAACAUAAUACAAAAUAGUUAAUUAAAUAUGCAAUAUAGAGAACAUAAACAUAAACAAGACACACAGGAUUGUUAACCCAGUUCGGUGCAAAAUCACCUACGUCUGGAGGGUUUUCACCCAAGAGAAAGAUAAUCCACUAUUCAGAGAAAUUGUACACAAAAGGUCUUAACUGAACUGCCCCAGUUCACAACCUUUUCUACCUAUCUCUACAAGUGUUUAUUACUUAGUCCUCCCCCUAAGUAUGAGAGCCCCUCUCACUUUCUCUCAAUCACUGCCACAGUGAUUCAAAAGCUCAACACAAGAGCAAAGACAGUUCUCAUGAUCAAACAACAAAAAAUCAACUCUCAGCAAAAGAAUCAAUACAUGAAUAUGCUGAGAGAACAACAAGUGUGAACACAGACAAGAGUAAACCCUAGUUUUACUCAACAGAAGCUCUCUCCCUAAACACUAGGUUUCGGUCUUCAUAUAUAGCAGUCAUCCAGGCCUUGUCUUCGAUGGGCUUGGACGAGCAAAGGUCCACACAACACUCAGGGAGUUACUAGGAAACAAAUCUGCAGAAAAGUCUUCAAUAAAAAGUUUCCUAUUCCAAAAAUAAAACUCUCACACACUCUCAGAUCAAAUCAUUGAAACCGAUUUGAUCACAUAGAAUAUAAUCCUUGAACGGCGCAUAGAAGCUUCCAGAAAUACCCUAGCUUGAUCACCAAGUAAUCAAAACGAAGCUUCUCAGAAAACCUAGCCAACUCAUUGCAGGUUUCGCAGGGACAGAUGUCACAGGCAAGAUGUUGUGACAUCGGGUCCGACAUGUUGGCCAAAAAAUUAACUUAGCUAAAACGCAGACAACAUAACAAAGGGACAACAAGUAUCAAUAGCUUGAAAGCUCUGGAAUUUCAAAUAGGACCAUACUCAACUUUGUGUAGCAACCUUAGUCUUUCUUAGGGACCACCUACCAUGUGCUUUACCUAGCCAACAUUAUAACCUUUUUCAAGUUUCAUUGAAUAAUGCAUUUUCAACUUUAGUUGCUCUUGAGUGAAUGAUUCCCAGAACCUAUGAACUUGCUUGUGUGCUCAGUGCACUAAACAAUUGUUUCAUGCUAGGAUGUUAGUUCUAAAUGCUUUUCAUAGUGGACUCUAAUUCUUCUUUGUCUAAGAGUGGACUGGGCGGGACCCUAGGGUCCCUCGCCCAGGAGCACCAGCUUAGGGCGACGAGCGGACCAGGGACUUGGGCCUCCUCCCAAAGGCCCAACUGGCCCAUUAGGAAGGGUUGAAGGCGCCAAGCCCAAUUCCACAUCUAUAAAUAGGGGAUGAAUAUCAAUUGUAAGGGACUCUUAGCUCAUUUGAGAAAUAACAAGAUUGAAAUUUAGUUACUCUCUCCCUCUAAAAACGGUUACGCUCUCAUUCUCUCUAGGAAUCUCACAUCACGUUCCUUACACUCUAGGUACUAUACCUCAUCUCAAUGUUCUUGGAUAGAACAUUUGGUACCGUCUGUGGGGAACGAUAGAUUUCGAUUCCCGGACUACGUGGAUUAUGAUUUGGCUGAGAGAAGUUCAAUUUUCCAUGCAAUUCUCUUUGGUUUCUUUAUUUUCGGUUAAAUUCUUGAUUCGCUCGUGACACUUGAUGGAAGCGCAACAUCGACGCAGUGAAAGAAGGAUGAAACACAAGCAUGAUCCGCGCCACGCGUAUGGAAGGCGGCGCGGUGAGGAGGCGGAGUCCUCAGUCUCCUUGUUGAAACCGUUAGAAGAAGGACCGCCAUCACCUCAGUCGUUGGCCGCUCGCAGGGAUUGGAGGUGGCUGAUUUGCGACGUCAAUAGUCGCCUGAAGCAGCAGGACAUGGAUGUCCGAAGAGCGAAUACAACAGCGAAGCCUUGGACAUUGCAAAGGAAAAGCUGUUGGAAAUCCUCGAGGGAGUGGAGAAACUCGUCUCCAAAAGGAAAGCUGACGUGCUUGGCCAGAUCGUGCGAAGCAGAAAAUCUUCGGAAACCAUGAGCGACACUAAUGAGUGGCAAACCGGGAGGUGAAUGGUUCGCUUAUCACUAGGCCAUGGGCCACAUCACAGAGGAAUGCCGCACGUGGGAAAGCUGAUAGCGGCGGGAAAACCUAUUAGAACACAAGGCGGUAAUGCUUUGAUACCUAAAGGAGUAAACACGAUCGCUGGAGGGUUUGGAGGAGGAGGAGUCACUAGUGCAGCUAGAAUGCGAUACGCCAGGGCGGUGAACGCAGUCACGGAGGUUCCUUUCGACUUUUCACACCCAGACAUUACCUUUUCAUCCGAUGACUUCUUUGGAGUAAAGCCACAUCUGGACGAUCCGAUUGUAAUCCUCCUUCGCAUCAACCAACUCAAUGUGCAACGAGUACUUUUGGAUUAAGGGAGUUCAGCGGACAUCAUUUACGGCGGAGCGUUUGAUCGGCUCGGUUUGAAUGAGGGAGACCUCACUCCUUAUGUAGGGACUCUGGUGGGAUUUGCGGGCGAGCAAGUAUGGGUGAGAGGCGUCCUUGACCUAGGACGCUGAAGGUGAAAUACUUAAUUCUAGGAGCGGAGGGAUCUUACAACAUGAUAAUUGGCAGAAACACCUUGAACCGAUUGUGCGCCGGGAUCUCGACGGUACAUUUGGCGGUUAAAUAUCCUUUGCCAAAUGGACGAAUUGGGAGAGUUGUUGUGGACCAGAAGACUGCAAGGGAGUGCUACUGCAACGCGGUAGAUCGGUACGGGAAAAGGAGCGCCUUGGUAGGACACCGAUGCAACGAGGUCGAGGCGCCGGAAGAAAACCUAGAUCCAAGGGGCGAAGGGCGGGUCAACAGGCCCACGCCAAUCGAGGAAACCAAGGAACUGAAAUUCGGCGAGAAAGUACUCAAAAUAGGGACCAGACUGACUGAGGUCCAAGAACAGAGAUUAUCAAAGCUAUUGGGCGAGAAUUUGGAUCUCUUUGCUUUGAGUCACAAGGACAUUCCAGGAAUAGACCCGAACUUCAUUUGUCACAGGCUGGCGCUGAAUCCCGGAAUUAAACCAGUGACCCAGACAAGCCGACGAAUGGGAGAUGAAAAGGAGAAAGCAAUCCAACAAGAGGUCAACAAAUUAGUGGCGGCAGACUUCAUCCGGGAAAUUAAGUAUCCUACUUGGCUGGCAAAUGUGGUGAUGGUGAAGAAGGCGAAUGGGAAAUGGAUAAUGUGUGUGGACUACACAGACCUGAACAAGGCAUGUCCAAAAGAUUCUUAGCCAUUACUAAGCAUAGACAAGCUAGUGGAUGGGGCGUCCGGAAAUGAGCUGCUGAGUUUGAUGGAUGCCUAUUCGGGAUAUCACCAAAUGAGCUGCACCCGUCGGAUGAAGAUAAAACGGCCUUCAUGACCGCCAGGGUAAAUUACUGUUAUCAGGCCAUGCCCUUUGGACUGAAGAAUGUGUAAGAUCAAGUUUUGAUCUAGUAGUACAACUCUAUGUUUUGAUGAUUACAAGUUAACCUUUUGAUAUGAACAAUUGUGGUACUCUAACGUGUUUUUCUGAGUGUGCUAUUUACAGGCUCUGACCUCAACUCAAUCUCACACAAAUCAGAAGCACUGUGUAUAAAGAGCAACCCAAGCAACGCUUUCGCAUUCACCAUGUUCAGAAUGAACAGUGGAAAAGCUUCAGAAGUUCUGAAGCUACACAAACUCUGAUGUGGACUCAGUCACUAGAAGCUCUGAAGAUCCAGAAGUUCUAACAACCAAGAAACACUGAAGGCUCAGAUGUUCUGAUGGUGUAGAAGACUCUGAAGAUCCAGAAGCUGAAUAGUGGAAACUCUGAUGUCCAGAAGCAAGAAACUCUGAAGACCAUGUACUUCCCUCUGAGUUCAGAAUCAGAAGAUACAACGGUCAGAGGAUCUGUGCUUUCCCUCUGACUCUGAUCAACCGGCUUCACAAGUUCCAAUAUGAAGCAUCCCCUGAUCAGAAGUCUCCUAGGUUUAAAGGUCAAGUCGCUAUCCAAGUACAAAAGCAACUGUACCUUCCUGACGACCUACCUAACAGUCUCAGACACAGCAGAAGCUGGAUUUUCCAGAACUGCCCUCCAACGGUAGCAUUUCCCAUGCAACGCUCAACCCUAAUCCUUGGAGUAUAUAAAGAGGCUGAAGACUGAAAGAAACGGCUAGAAGCAUUCACAUACGCGCAAGACAAACUUAAAUUCUUCUAAGCUUUCUUUCAUCUGAAAUUCAUUGAGUUUACUAUUAGCUUUUUAGAAGCAAAUCUCUUGUAAACAAUUCUUUGAUAAACAGUUUGUUUAGUUCCUUUAGGAGAUCAAGGUUGAUCGGAUCCUAGAGAAGACUAAGAGAGUGAAUCUUAGUGUGAGCUAAGUCAGUGUAAUUGUUAGUCACUUGUAGGUUUCAAGUGCAGUUGUAACUCUUACCUGAUUAGUGGAUUGCCUUCAUUCUAAGAAGGAAGAAAUCACCUUAACGGGUGGACUGGAGUAGCUUGAGUGAUUUAUCAAGUGAACCAGGAUAAAAUCCUUGUGUGCUUUUCUAUCUCUUAUCUUUAGCACUUAAGUUCUCGAAAGAUUUGUCAAAAUCUUUAAGGUGGAAGUUUUAUACUGAAAACGUUAUUCAAACCCCCCCUUUCUACCGUUUUUCAUACCUUCAAUUGGUAUCAGAGCGCAAGUUCUGAUUACCACACCUAACAGUGUUCAGUGAUCCGGGCCGGUGUGAAAAACAAUGGCUGCCACCACCAGUGAAACUCAAAGAGAUGGUUACAAUGCAAAGCCUCCUAUGUUCGACGGUCAAAGGUUCGAAUAUUGGAAAGAUAGACUGGAAAGUUUCUUUCUGGGUUUCGAUGCAGAUCUCUGGGAUAUUAUUGUGGAUGGCUACGAGCGUCCAGUUGAUGCAGAUGGCAAGAAGAUCCCAAGGUCAGAGAUGACUACAGAUCAAAAGAAGCUGUACUCACAACAUCACAAAGCAAGAGCAAUUCUUCUAAGUGCUAUUUCCUAUGAAGAGUACCAGAAGAUUACAGAUCGUGAGUUUGCGAAAGGCAUUUUCGAAUCUCUGAAGAUGUCUCAUGAAGGAAACAAGAAAGUCAAAGAAUCAAAGGCAUUGUCUUUGAUCCAAAAGUAUGAAUCCUUCAUCAUGGAGCCAAAUAAGUCCAUUGAAGAAAUGUUCUCCAGAUUUCAGCUGCUUGUAGCUGGCAUACGACCUCUCAACAAGAGCUACACAACAAAAGAUCAUGUCAUAAGGGUCAUCAGGUGUCUUCCUGAAAGUUGGAUGCCUUUAGUGACUUCAAUAGAGCUCACGAGAGACGUUGAGAAUAUGAGUUUAGAAGAACUCAUCAGCAUUUUGAAAUGCCAUGAGCUGAAGCGCUCAGAGAUGCAAGAUCUGAAGAAAAAGUCCAUAGCCUUGAAAUCUAAAUCUGAAAAGGCUAAGGUUGAGAAGUCAAAAGCUCUUCAAGCUGAAGAAGAGGAAUCUGAAGAAGCAUCAGAAGAUUCUGAUGAAGAUGAGCUGACUCUGAUCUCCAAGAGACUCAAUCGCAUCUGGAAGCACCGGCAGAGCAAAUACAAAGGCUCUGGAAAGGCAAAAGGAAAGUCUGAAUCCUCAGGUCAGAAGAAGUCCUCACUUAAGGAAGUCACAUGCUUUGAGUGCAAAGAAUCAGGGCACUACAAAAGUGACUGUCCAAGAUUGAAGAAGGACAAGAAGCCAAAGAAGCACUUCAAGACAAAGAAGAGUCUGAUGGUGACAUUUGAUGAAUCAGAGUCAGAUGAUGUUGACUCUGAUGGUGAAGUCCAAGGACUCAUGGCCAUUGUCAAAGACAAGGAAGCAGAGUCAAAGGGAGAUGUUGACUCUGACUCAGAAUCAGAAGGAAAUCCUAACUCAGACGAUGAAAAUGAGGUAUUCGCUUCUUUCUCUACCUUUGAACUGAAACCUGCAUUGUCUGAUAUUAUGGAUAAGUAUAACUCCUUAUUGUCUAAGCAUAAGAAGCUGAAAAAGAACUUAUCUGCUGUUUCCAAGACUCCUUCUGAACAUGAGAAAAUUAUUUCUGAUUUGAAAAAUGAUAAUCAUGCCUUGAUCAAUUCUAACUCUGUGCUUAAGAACCAGAUUGCUAAGUUAGAAGAAAUUGUUGCCUGUGAUGCCUCUGAUUGUAGAAAUGAAUCUAAGUAUGAAAAGUCUUUUCAAAGAUUCCUAGCUAAAAGCGUGGAUAGAAGAUUAAUGGCUUCAAUGAUCUAUGGCGUAAGCAGAAAUGGAAUGCAUGGCAUUGGCUAUUCUAAACCAAUUAGAAAUGAGCCCUCUGUGUCUAAAGCUAAAUCCUUGUAUGAAUGCUUUGUUCCCUCUGGUACCAUAUUGCCUGAUCCUGUUCCUGCUAAAGUUGCUAAAAACCCUCUUAAAAAGGGAUCUUUCUCUAUGACUAAAUAUCAUGCAAAUAUUCCUUUAAAAUAUCAUGUUGAGACACCCAAGGUGAUCAGAACCUCUGGGGUAACUAACAAGAGAGGACCCAGAAAGUGGGUACCUAAGGACAAGAUUAUCUAUGCUGCAGAUAUCCUUGAUAGCUCCACUGAAACACCAAUCAUGGUAUCUGGACAGUGGAUGCUCGUGUCACAUGACGGGAGAAAGGCGUAUGUUUCGAGAGCUGAAACUUAAGCCUGGAGGCGAAGUUGGCUUUGGAGGAAAUGAAAAGGGUAAAAUUGUUGGUACUGGUACUAUUUGUGUAGAUAGUAGUCCAUGCAUUGAUAAUGUGUUAUUGGUAGACGGCUUAACACAUAACUUAUUGUCUAUAAGCCAAUUAGCUGACAAGGGUUAUGAUGUUAUAUUCAAUCAAAAGUCCUGCCGGGCUGUAAGUCAAAUCGAUGGCUCUGUUCUGUUUAACAGCAAGAGGAAGAACAACAUUUAUAAGAUCAGAUUAUCUGAGUUGGAGGCUCAGAAUGUGAAGUGCCUUCUGUCUGUUAAUGAAGAGCAGUGGUUAUGGCAUAGACGGUUAGGGCAUGCCAGUAUGAGAAAGAUUUCUCAGCUGAGCAAGCUAAACCUUGUUAGGGGCUUACCCAAUCUGAAGUUCGCUUCAGACGCUCUUUGUGAAGCAUGUCAGAAAGGAAAAUUCACAAAAGUCCCUUUCAAGGCAAAGAAUGUUGUCUCAACCUCAAGGCCGUUAGAACUUCUGCAUAUCGACCUUUUUGGACCAGUGAAAACUGAGUCUAUAGGUGGCAAGAGAUAUGGGAUGGUUAUCGUUGAUGACUAUAGCCGCUGGACAUGGGUAAAGUUUCUAACCCGCAAGGAUGAGUCUCAUGCUGUGUUCUCUACCUUCAUUGCUCAAGUGCAAAACGAGAAGGCUUGUAGGAUUGUGCGUGUCAGAAGUGACCAUGGUGGAGAGUUUGAGAAUGACAAUUUUGAGAGUCUGUUUGAUUCCUAUGGAAUUGCACAUGAUUUCUCUUGUCCCAGAACUCCUCAACAAAAUGGUGUUGUUGAAAGGAAGAACAGAACUCUUCAGGAGAUGGCUAGAACCAUGCUCCAAGAAACUGGCAUGGCUAAGCACUUUUGGGCAGAGGCAGUAAAUACAGCAUGUUACAUUCAGAACAGAAUCUCUGUGAGACCAAUUCUGAAUAAGACUCCUUAUGAAUUGUGGAAGAACAUAAAACCCAACAUUUCUUAUUUUCAUCCUUUUGGCUGUGUUUGUUAUGUUCUCAAUACUAAGGAUAGAUUGCAUAAAUUUGAUGCUAAGUCUUCUAAAUGUCUAUUACUUGGUUAUUCUGAGAGAUCUAAAGGUUUUAGAUUUUAUAAUACUGAUGCUAAGACUAUUGAAGAAUCUAUUCAUGUUAGAUUUGACGAUAAGCUUGACUCUGACCAGUCAAAGCUAGUUGAAAAGUUUGCAGAUUUAAGCAUUAAUGUUUCUGACAAAGGCAAAGCUCCAGAGGAAGCUGAGCCAGAGGAAGAUGAACCAGAGGAAGAAGCUGGUCCCUCUAACUCACAAACUCUGAAGAAGAGCAGAAUCACUGCAGCUCACCCUAAGGAAUUGAUUCUGGGCAACAAAGACGAACCAGUCAGAACCAGAUCUGCCUUCAGACCCUCUGAAGAGACCUUGCUCAGUCUGAAAGGAUUGGUGUCCUUAAUUGAACCCAAGUCCAUAGAUGAAGCUCUUCAGGACAAGGAUUGGAUUCUGGCCAUGGAAGAAGAAUUGAAUCAAUUCUCCAAGAACGAUGUUUGGAGCUUAGUGAAGAAGCCUGAGAGUGUCCAUGUUAUUGGAACGAAAUGGGUAUUCAGAAACAAGCUGAAUGAGAAAGGAGAUGUAGUCAGAAACAAGGCAAGGCUAGUUGCUCAAGGCUACAGCCAGCAGGAAGGAAUAGACUACACUGAAACAUUUGCUCCAGUAGCAAGACUGGAGGCAAUCAGACUGUUGAUCUCUUUUUCAGUAAAUCACAACAUAGUUCUACAUCAGAUGGACGUGAAGAGUGCCUUCCUAAAUGGUUAUAUUUCAGAGGAAGUCUAUGUUCAUCAACCCCCAGGUUUUGAAGAUGAGAAGAAACCAGACCAUGUGUUCAAAUUGAAGAAAUCACUCUACGGUCUGAAGCAAGCUCCCAGAGCAUGGUAUGAGAGACUCAGCUCAUUCCUUCUGGAGAAUGAGUUUGUAAGGGGUAAAGUAGAUACAACUCUUUUUUGCAAGACUUAUAAAGAUGAUAUCUUAAUUGUGCAAAUUUAUGUUGAUGAUAUUAUAUUUGGUUCUGCUAAUCAAUCUCUAUGCAAAGAAUUUUCUGAGAUGAUGCAGGCUGAAUUUGAGAUGAGUAUGAUGGGAGAAUUAAAGUACUUUCUGGGAAUACAAGUUGAUCAAACACCAGAAGGAACAUAUAUCCAUCAGAGCAAGUACACUAAAGAACUUCUGAAGAAGUUCAAUAUGCUGGAAUCUACAGUGGCCAAGUCUCCAAUGCAUCCUACAUGCAUUCUGGAGAAAGAAGAUAAAAGUGGUAAAGUAUGUCAGAAGCUCUAUCGUGGCAUGAUAGGUUCACUUCUAUACUUAACUGCAUCUAGGCCAGACAUACUAUUUAGUGUUCAUUUAUGUGCUCGUUUCCAAUCAGAUCCAAGGGAAACCCACUUAACUGCUGUUAAGAGGAUCCUAAGGUAUCUGAAAGGCACCACUAACCUUGGCUUGAUGUAUAAGAAAACAUCAGAGUAUAAGCUUUCAGGUUACUGUGAUGCUGAUUAUGCUGGAGAUAGAACAGAGAGAAAAAGUACUUCUGGAAAUUGUCAAUUUCUGGGAAGCAAUCUAGUCUCAUGGGCAAGCAAGAGGCAAUCAACCAUUGCACUAUCAACUGCAGAGGCAGAAUAUAUCUCAGCAGCAAUAUGCAGCACUCAGAUGCUCUGGAUGAAACAUCAGCUGGAAGAUUAUCAGAUCCUUGAGAGCAAUAUCCCAAUCUAUUGUGAUAACACUGCUGCAAUCUCAUUGAGUAAGAAUCCUAUCUUGCAUUCAAGGGCAAAGCACAUUGAGGUAAAGUAUCACUUUAUUAGAGAUUAUGUACAGAAGGGCGUACUUCUUCUGAAGUUUGUUGAUACUGACCAUCAAUGGGCAGAUAUCUUUACAAAGCCCUUAGCAGAGGAUAGAUUUAAUUUUAUUCUGAAAAAUCGAAACAUGGACUUUUGUCCAGAGUGAAGAUGGAUCAGAACCUCUGACUAUGAUACUUCUUGAUCAGAAGAUGUCUAGUCCAGAAGGUAACUCAAUCAGAGUGUGUGUACCCACUGGUACUGACUCUGAAGCUGAGACAGCAACACGUGUGUCAGUAUUUCUGAUGCAUAGUUCCUUGUGCCCGUGUGACAGUCUGUUAUGAUUGCGUGUAGAUGUGCUUCUCUCCUGUGUGUGAUUUGUGUAUUUACUGUUACUAUCUAUCUUUAAUUUUCAACCGUUGAUCUUAAAGUGCCUUUUAAAUCAACAACGGUUAUUUGUUAAAACCCACUAUACACACACGAUCUCUUUCACUUCCGGUUUUUACUCUCGCUCUCUCUGCUUUUCAAAAACCGCUUAUCCUCGAUUUCUCUCUCGAUCUCUCUUCAUCCUUCAACCUUCAUCUUCUACCUCAAACCUUCAACCGCUUCAAAAAUGGUGAGUCAAACCAGAAGAGCUACUGCAGAUGCAACCCAGUUCCCUCACAUGGUAGUUGGUCUAGCAACGGGUCAAAGGGGCCCUGAGAAUCCGACACAAGAUCAAGGUCACGCUCAAGAGCAGACUAUUCCAAUUGCAGAACGGGGCUGUGCCGUUCACUGCGUAUAUGCUCCUGAGGAACUUCAAGUCCUGGCAGAAUGGAGAUUCGACCUCGACAACCUGGCUACAAAUGGGUAUGAUCUUCGUCCUGAAGUCCAAAUUCAAGGUUGGGGAAAUUACUUCAACAGACUUCGAGGACCGGUGUAUGAGAAACUGGUCAAGGAAUUCUGGAAGCACGCCGACUGCGAUGAUACUCAGGUGGUAUCUCACAUUCUUGGAAGAAAGAUCAUCAUCACAGAGAAGUCCUUCGUGAACUUGCUGGGUGCAGACACUGCUUUUGGGUAUCGUUUCCAACUCACGGAAUCGAAGCUGAAACCCAGCACCAAGGAUACAAUCAACCAGGCCCUGUACACCAAUUACAAACCGGGCAAGACGAAUUACAAGGUGAUGGACCUUCAUCCCAAGCUCAGGAUCUGGCACAAAAUUCUGCUUCACUGCAUAAACCAGAGACCAAAGGGCAGUUCCCCAGACUACAUCAACUUCAACCAGAAGGUGAUGUUGUUCUUCAUCCAAGACCAGAAGAAGAUCUGCCUUCCCUACUUCCUGUUCUCCUACUUGAAGGAAUGCAUCCGGAAGUCUCGUACCACUGCCUCCAUCAAGUCAGCGAUCAAGUAUAUUCCCUUCGGGAGACUUUUGUCUGAUCUCUUCAUUGAGAGUGGCCUCGUUCAAGAUCUGAUAAAUGCUGGAUGCACAGAGGAUCUGAGCACCAUUGUCAGUGAUGUCUUCACGGCAAACUCUCUAAAGAAGAUGGGCCUAAUCAAGAAGAAGAUUGCUCCUGCCCAUGAAGACACAUCUUCUGAGAUCAGAAGUAGAAGGAUGCCUCUGAAUGACUACCCUCUGUGGACUCAGGCAGACAAUCCUGACGCCAUUAGGUGCUAUGUUGAAGACCUAAGGGCUCAAGGAUUCGAAAUUGAUCUCGAUGACUUCUUCAGCAGACUGCCGCCAGCUCCAGAGUUUCCUUCUCCUCCCAAGAAGAAAGCUCAGAGGAAGAUGAUCCUAGAAGAAUCUUCUGAGGAAUCAGAUGUCCCUCUGAUCAAAAAGAAGAAGGCUGGUCAAUCCAAGAGAAAGCAGGAUGACACCAGCAAGCCUGAUGAUGGUGAUGAUGGUGAUAAUGAGGAUGGUCCUCCUAAGAAGAAGAAGAAGCAGGUCAGAAUCGUGGUGAAGCCUACUCGGGUGGAACCAGCUGCUGAAGUGGUCAGAAGGACUGAACCUCCUGCCAGAGUGACAAGAUCAUCAGCACAUUCAAGUAAGUCUGCAAUUGCUUCUGAUGAUGAUUUGAAUUUAUUUGAUGCACUCCCCAUAUCUGCCAUGCUCAAACACUCUUCAAAUCCCCUCACUCCUAUUCCUGAAUCCCAACCAGCUGCACAAACCACCUCUUCACCACAUUCCCCAAGGUCUUCGUUCUUUCAACCUUCCCCUACUGAAGCACCUCUCUGGACUUUGCUCCAGAACCAACCCUCUAGGUCAGAAGAACCUACCUCUCCCAUUACCAUUCAGUACAACCCAUUAGCUUCUGAACCCAUCAUUCAUGAACAACCAGAGCCUACCCACACAGAACCUGGACCCAGAACCUCUGAUCACUCUGUUCCAAGAGCAUCAGAACGACUGGCUCCCAGACCUACGGAUACAGACUCUUCCACAGCCUUUACCCCUGUAUCCUUCCCAACCAAUGUUGCUGACUCUUCUCCCUCCAAUAACUCUGAAUCCAUUAGAAAAUUCAUGGAGGUCAGAAAAGAAAAGGUGUCUACUCUAGAAGAGUAUUAUCUCACUUGUCCAAGCCCUAGGAGAUAUCCUGGCCCUAGACCUGAACGUCUAGUUGACCCAGAUGAACCUAUCUUGGCCAAUCCUUUACAAGAGGCAGACCCUUUGGCUCAACAAGCUCACCCUGCCCCUGACCAACAAGAGCCUAUUCAACCAGAACCUGAACCAGAACAAUCUGUGUCUAACCAAUCCUCGGUUAGAUCACCUCAUCCUCUGGUUGAAACUUCAGAACCUCACCUUGGAACCUCUGAACCCAAUACUCAAAUGCUUAACAUUGGUUCUCCACAAGGUGCCUCUGAAGCUCACAGCAGCAAUCACCCAGCCUCUCCUGAAACCAACCUCUCCAUAAUUCCUUAUACUCACCUCCGACCCACAUCUCUCUCUGCGUGCAUCAAUAUUUUCUAUCAUGAAGCCUCUUUGAGGCUACGCAAUGUGCACGGUCAGACUGACCUAAGUGAGAAUGCUGAACGUGUGGCUGAUGAGUGGAACACUCUGGGCACUUGGCUGGUGGCUCAAGUUCCAAUUAUGAUGCAGCUCCUGCAUGCAGAGGGAAGUCAGAGGAUUGAGGCUGCAAAGCAAAGGUUUGCUCGAAGGGUGGCUCUUCAUGAACAAGAACAGAGACAUAAGCUUCUUGAAGCUAUUGAAGAAGCCAAGAGAAAGAAAGCUCAAGCAGAAGAAGCUGCACGUCAAGCAGCAGCUCAAGCUGAACAAGCCAGAUUAGAGGCAGAACGACUUGAAGCUGAGGCUGAAGCUCUUAGAUGCCAAGCACUUGCACCAGUAGUGUUUACUCCUGCUGCUUCUGCUUCCAUUCCAGAUCCUCAAGCUGCUCAGAAUGUUCCUUCCGGUUCUACUCAGUCAAGCUCGUCCAGACUCGACAUCAUGGAACAGCGUCUUGACACUCAUGAAUCCAUGCUAAUUGAAAUGAAGCACAUGAUGAUGGAACUUCUGCGUCGAACUGAUAAACCUUAGUUUUAGGAUCUCUUCGUUUUUCUUUUUCUUUAACGUUGUUUUAUUUUUGUUAACUUCUGUUUCUUUUUAUUUAAUUAUUCUACUUUAUUCGUUUGUGAUUAUCUAUGCAUAUCUAUAUAUAUUUGUGUCACAUAUGUUUGCAAAAAAAUCUUUUUAUUCAUAAUAUCUUUAUGUUUACAUCAUACAUUCUUUCCCUAAAAGUCUAGAAUGGAGGAUCCCUCCUCAUUCUUCUGCACUCCUGGCGCUGCUCUGACCUAUCCUUCUCCAGACGCUCCAGUGCAUGCUGGAUGUUGUUGAGCCUGUCCUUUAGCUCAUCCCUCUCCAGAAUCUCUUCUGCGGUCUUGAGCUUCUCUUCCAAACUCUCUUUUUCUUCCAGCAGCUUGAGUUCAAGCCGGCUGAGUUCUUGCACCUCCUCCACGAAGGCAAGAAAUUCCCUCAGGUCUCUCUUCAACUCUGGACGCAGGUCCUCCUCCAGCAGUGUCCGUGUCAGCUCCGCGAUGGUCGUUGUACCCUCUGGAUGCCUGAUGUUAAGGAACAAGUCCUCCUCGAAGGCCUUCUUCCUCAGCUCUUCUAGUGCUACGAUGUAUGAUGCCAUUUUUUUUCCUUACUGAAAAUUGUUCGAGGUGUGAAGCUUACCUCUCUCUCCAACGCUUUAUAUAGGCUUCACUUUCUCUCUGAAAGUUAAUGCUCCUACAGUUUCUCGAGGUUAAGUUCUUGGUAACUGACCCUUCUCUUUACUCCCUUGACCGGUGGUAAACGUUCUUCUCUUGCAUUAACUCUUCUAUUUAUUUCGCCUAACUCUGAUUCUUGCAUCGUUUUCAUUUUCUUUAAACUUAGACCUUCUCUAAGGGGGAGUACCUUGUGCUACAAGCUAAGUUUUUCACACCCCAAGCUUUUUGCUUAUGACAAAAAGGGGGAGUAAACCCAGUUUUUGAUGUGUAAGAUGUGUUAGUGUGAUUUAUUUUUUCUUUUGGAGAAUUUAAGAGUUCCACCUUCAUGACCAUAGAUGUGUCACUGGGCAAAUACAAGGAAUACAUUUCACUUCUUCUGAAGUGAUUCUAAGUUGACUCUGAUACCCAAGACUCUGAUACCUUGUCCGUGACUCUGAUUACUUAUGCGCUCUGAUUACUCGAUUUUCAUCUAUGUCAUAAGUUUUUCACUCUGAACUCUUAUAUCAUUUAGCUCAGAAUCUAGACUUUACUAACGUUUUCAUCAAGUAUUAGAUUAGGGGGAGCUAAGCUCAGAAUCAAGCAGUGACUUGAAUUCAGAAUGAGCAAGAUAAACUAUUCACAUCAGGAUAAGUCUUAUUCUAUAUCUCUAAACUCUGAGUGAAUUCAGUUUAAUGUUUAAGAAUUGUUCAUCAAAAAUCUUAGUUUUGUCAUCAUCAAAAAGGGGGAGAUUGUAAGAUCAAGUUUUGAUCUAGUAGUACAACUCUAUGUUUUGAUGAUUACAAGUUAACCUUUUGAUAUGAACAAUUGUGGUACUCUAACGUGUUUUUCUGAGUGUGCUAUUUACAGGCUCUGACCUCAACUCAAUCUCACACAAAUCAGAAGCACUGUGUAUAAAGAGCAACCCAAGCAACGCUUUCGUAUUCACCAUGUUCAGAAUGAACAGUGGAAAAGCUUCAGAAGUUCUGAAGCUACACAAACUCUGAUGUGGACUCAGUCACUAGAAGCUCUGAAGAUCCAGAAGUUCUAACAACCAAGAAACACUGAAGGCUCAGAUGUUCUGAUGGUGUAGAAGACUCUGAAGAUCCAGAAGCUGAAUAGUGGAAACUCUGAUGUCCAGAAGCAAGAAACUCUGAAGACCAUGUACUUCCCUCUGAGUUCAGAAUCAGAAGAUACAACGGUCAGAGGAUCUGUGCUUUCCCUCUGACUCUGAUCAACCGGCUUCACAAGUUCCAAUAUGAAGCAUCCCCUGAUCAGAAGUCUCCUAGGUUUAAAGGUCAAGUCGCUAUCCAAGUACAAAAGCAACUGUACCUUCCUGACGACCUACCUAACAGUCUCAAACACAGCAGAAGCUGGAUUUUCCAGAACUGCCCUCCAACGGUAGCAUUUCCCAUGCAACGCUCAACCCUAAUCCUUGGAGUAUAUAAAGAGGCUAAAGACUGAAAGAAACGGCUAGAAGCAUUCACAUACGCGCAAGACAAACUUAAAUUCUUCUAAGCUUUCUUUCAUCUGAAAUUCAUUGAGUUUACUAUUAGCUUUUUAGAAGCAAAUCUCUUGUAAACAAUUCUUUGAUAAACAGUUUGUUUAGUUCCUUUAGGAGAUCAAGGUUGAUCGGAUCCUAGAGAAGACUAAGAGAGUGAAUCUUAGUGUGAGCUAAGUCAGUGUAAUUGUUAGUCACUUGUAGGUUUCAAGUGCAGUUGUAACUCUUACCUGAUUAGUGGAUUGCCUUCAUUCUAAGAAGGAAGAAAUCACCUUAACGGGUGGACUGGAGUAGCUUGAGUGAUUUAUCAAGUGAACCAGGAUAAAAUCCUUGUGUGCUUUUCUAUCUCUUAUCUUUAGCACUUAAGUUCUCGAAAGAUUUGUCAAAAUCUUUAAGGUGGAAGUUUUAUACUGAAAAAGUUAUUCAAACCCCCCCUUUCUACCGUUUUUCAUACCUUCAGAAUGCGGGGGCGACGUAUCAGCGAUUGAUGGAUAGGGUAUUUGAGGGCCAAGUAGGAAGGAACAUGGAGGUCUACGUUGAUGAUAUGAUCGUAAAUUCAGUUUUGGGAUCAAGCCAUCACGAGGAUUUAACAGAAGCUUUCGACAGGCUCCAAAAGCAUAACAUGAGACUCAAUCCGGAGAAGUGUUCUUUUGGUAUACCGGGCGGGAAGUUCUUAGGCUUCAUGAUCACGUCGAAAGGAAUCGAGAUCAUUCCAGAUAAGUGCAAGGCGAUCCAGGAAAUGAAAAGCCCAAGUAGUGUGAAGGAGGUGCAGCGCCUGACGGGGCGGAUUGCGGCCCUAUCCAGGUUUUUCCCCCAUUCGGGCGACAAAUCAACCCCGUUCUUCAAAUGCCUCAAGAAGAACACGGUGUUUGAAUGGAGUUCAGAAUGCGAAGAAGCCUUUAACUGCCUGAAAGAGAUGUUGUCCGCACCACCCGUUCUAUCGAAACCUGUCCAGGGUCUUCCUUUGCACUUGUAUUUUUCUGUCAGUGAUCGUGCGAUCAGCUCGGUAAUCCUCCAGGAGGUAUACGGAGAACAAAAAAUAGUUUACUUUGUAAGCCAUACACUUCAAGGGGCGGAGGCGGCGCUCGCCGUCCUCGUUACCGCCAGACGCUUAAGACCUUACUUUCAAAGCUUUCAGGUAAAAAUAAAGACUGAUCUUCCUUUGAGACAGGUGUUGCAGAAGCCAGAUUUGUCAGGAAGACUUGUCGCAUGGUCAAUUGAGUUAUCAGAAUACGGUUUGCAAUACGACAAAAGGGGGAAGGUCGGUGCGCAGACUUUAGCUGAUUUUGUGGUUGAGUUAACGCUAGAAGACGGUGAGAAGGUGAGCACGCAAUGGACGUUGUUUGUUGAUGGGUCAUCGAACGACAAUGGAAGUGGAGCAGGGGUCACGCUACAAGGGCCUGGGGAGUUAGUAUUAGAGCAGUCCCUCAGAUUUCAAUUUAAAGCCAGUAAUAAUCAGGCAGAGUAUGAGGCUCUGAUCGCAGGUUUGAAGUUGGCAAUUGAGGUGCAAAUCGAAAGUUUGCUGGUUAGAACGGACUCGCUGCUUGUGGCAAACCAAGUAAAUGGGGAAUUUCAGGUGAAGGAACCGGCCUUGAUAAAAUAUCUGGAGCGUGUGCGGCUGCUGAUGGGUCGAUUGCAAGAGAUUGUAGUUGAAUUCGUGCCAAGGGCGCAGAAUCAAAGGGCGGACGCCCUAGCAAAAUUGGCAAGCACUCGGAAACCUGGAAACAAUCGAAGUGUGAUCCAAGAGACGCUCGCCAAUCCUAGCAUAGAAGGAGAGUUGGUAGCCUCAGUUGACCGCCAAAAAACUUGGAUGGACCCCAUCGUAGGUAUCUUGGCGGGAGAGCCAAGUGAGGUGGUGAAGUACUCAAAGGAAUAAAGAAGGGAGGCGGGACACUACACGUUACUCGACGGUGUAAUCUAUCGACGAGGAUUUAGCUCGCCCUUCCUGAGAUGUCUACCGCCUGGGAAAUACGAUGAUGUUAUGGCAGAGGUUCACGGGGGGGGGGGGGGGGGGGUUUGCGCUAGCCACAUCGGAGCAAGGUCGUUGGCAAGCAAAGUCCUCAGAGCGGGUUUUUACUGGCCCACGAUAAGAUAAGACUGUGCGGAAUUCAUGAAGAAAUGCGAAAAGUGUCAAGUAUUUGCAGACUUUCCCAGAGCCCCGCCGGAGCAAUUGGCCACGAUCAGCUCCCCAUGGCCCUUCGCCAUGUGGGGAGUUGACCUCGUCGGGCCUUUUCCCACUGCCAGGUCACAAAUGAAGUUCAUCCUCGUGGCGGUGGACUACUUCACCAAAUGGGUGGAGGCCUGAUGACCCUACUUUAGUAGUGUUUUUAAGGUCAUUUCUUUGUGUGUUCUGAGUCUUUUUGUUGAGUCUCAUGUAGUGUUUCAUGCAUUCUCAUGCAUUUUUAUCUUUUCUUUAGUCUUUAUUUUGCUUUGGUAAUUUAGUAGUUUUAUAGGGAGUUUUCUUGCAUUUUGAGUAGAGUUUAGGGCUUGCAUGGUUUUCUUGAAGGAUCUCUUGUGCUAAUAAGCUCUUUGAGCUUCUAGAAUUUUCCUUGGCUUGUUGUUUAAGUUUCAGAUCAGGAACUGAAGAAGGAAGAAGGCCAAUAAGCAUGGAAUUGAUGGAAAACUUAAAGGGGAUUGAAAAGAGGAGUUUCAGUAGCCAAAAAGCCCUUUUCAGGCGAGCUUAAGCGCCUAGGCGCUGGGGGAUGGGCGCCUAGGCGUCAAUUGGGUCCAGAGAGCAUGUUUUUGCAUGCAAUUGGCACUCAGGCGCUCUGAAUUGGCGCCUGAGCGCCCAGACUCGACCCGUUUGCCUAUAAAUAGGCUUUUUGUCAUUCCUUUUGUACCUUUUGUCAUUUUUAUCAUUUUUCUCAUAAGUUAGAAGAGAGAGCUUGAGUUCUGAAGCUUUGGGAGCUUUCCCUAGGUCUUAUGUUCCAGGUUUUAUCUUAAUUUUCUAGCAUGGAUUCCAUAGCCAUGCUUGGCUAAAACCCCUUUUGCUUUGGGUUCUUUGUAAGACUUUGAAUGUUUUAGCUUUCAAUCCUUUUCUAUUCAUGAAGUUCUGAGUAAACCCUUGAAUCUCACUUCUAUGCUUUUUCUUCCAAGCUUGAAUGCAUGCUAGCUUUAUGCUUUUCUAUAAUCAUAACGAUAGUUUGUUAUAGAAUUGGGACUUGUUGUGAGAUUACUCCUUCUAUACUUGCUGCUAGGAAUAGAGGAAGGGUUGGGGUUUGUUGGCCUGAUUUGUAUGCUUAGUGCUUCUAGCAAUUGUUUAGGUUAUCAAGGAAUUGAAUCUAUCUUUUGAUUAGGAAGGGUUUUCUUUGCGAGGCAUCGAAAGAUAACUAACUAGGCUAGAACAUCAAGGAGAGACUCAGGAUUAAUUGAAUAGGAGGGUUUGCUAAAACUGAAUUAGUUGAACAAGAACCCAAGGCAAUCUCAUCUCUGUUUUCAAUUCCUUUAUUACUUGGCUACUUGUCUUUUUACAAACUCAAGAAUCAACCAAUCAUUAAAACUGAAUUUUACUUGCUUUUCAACCUUGAACUUGAAUCUUAAACUGAAUUCACAUUCCAAUUCCCUGUGGUUCGAUAAAUUAAAACCCGGAGAUAUCUGUGCACUUUCAGAUUGACCAACAAGUUUUUGGCGCCGUUGCCGGGGAGUUGUUUUGCGAUUUUUUGGUUUAAGUUUUAAGUUUUCACUUGUCUAGAAUUGGUGCUACUAAUCUUUCUCUGUUGAGUGUCUUUCGUAGGUUGCUUUCAAGAGAGGCACCACCAUGGGUGGCCGCAUGACAGAGGAGGAGAUGCAAGCCCACAUUGAGGCAAGGAUCCAAGAGGGUAUCACCCUCCGCUUACGUGAACAAGAAGUUGAGAAUGCCAACCGAACUCUUCGGGAACUAACUUCGGGGUCCAUGAGCUUUGACUAUCCCGGAAGUAUUGUUAUUCCCGAAGGAGUGGGGAACUUUGAAUUAAGACCGGCAUUCAUCAACAUGGUGAGCCAAAGCCAAUAUGGUGGAGGUUCCUCGGAAGAUCCUCAUGCUCAUAUGGAGAAGUUCAUCCGGAAUUGCAACACUUAUCGGGUGGUGAAUGUUUCUACAGAAGCAAUCCGGUUGAGCCUAUUUCCCUUCUCUUUGAAGGACGCAGCAGAGGAUUGGCUGAACUCACAACCUCAAGGAAGUCUCAUUACUUGGGAAGACCUUGCAGAAAAAUUCACAACGAGGUUCUUCCCAAGGUCCCUCUUGAGGAAAUUGAAAAAUGACAUCAUGACGUUCACACAAUCCUCAGAUGAAAAUCUUUACGAGGCUUGGGAGCAUUUCAAGAAGCUUUUGAGGAAAUGUCCUCAACACAAUCUCACCCAAGCCGAAUGUGUGGCGAAGUUCUAUGAUGGGUUACUAUAUUCAUCACGGUUUUGUUUGGAUGCGGCUUCAAGUGGGGAGUUCGAUGCUCUUCCCCCACAAGCGGGGUAUGAUUUGAUAGAGAAAAUGGCGAUGAGAGCCAUGAACUCCGAGAAUGAACGCCAAAUCCGAAGAAGCUCUUUUGAAGUGGAAUCUUAUGAUAAGCUCAUAGCCUCCAACAAGCAACUCUCCGAGGAAGUAGCGGAAAUGCAGAAACAUAUUCGGGAUGCCAAGUCAAUUGGAGCGAGAGUAACUAGUUUGGAGUGCAAAUUUUGUGGUGAAUCUCAUGAUAGUAACCAGUGUACUGUUAAUGAUGAUGUUGGCAAGGUCAGAACAUUGACUCAAGGAGGAAAAGCUCCAACCUCAGAACAAGGGCCUCUUGUCCAGCCGCAAAUUGUUGUAAAGACGGUUGGCAAGAGGAGUCUUGAGGAGCUGAUUGAGGGAUUCAUUGAUCAUACAUCGAGCAUUUACAAGAGCCAUGAUAUGGCUAUCAAGAGCUUGGAGAGUCAAUUGGGACAGCUAGCAAAGCAAAUGUCCGAGAAUCACCAAGGUAAGUUUUCUUCCGAAACUUUAACUUUGACUGAGCAAGAAAAUACUGCUGCUGUUUCCACUAGGAGUGGAAGAGUUUUACAUGAGCCAGAGGAAAAAAUUGAGGGAGAGAAAAGUGAGGAAGCUGAGGUAGAAAGAGAUAAGGGUGUUACGGAGGAAAGAGCUAGAGAGCCUACUAGGACUAGAGUUGUUAACACCCAUACUCCUGAACUCCGCAAGAUUCCAUUUCCCAAGGCUUUGGUGAAGAAAAAUUUGGAUAAACAAUUUUCUAAGUUCUUGGAAGUUUUUAAGAAACUCCAUAUUAAUAUUCCUUUCUCCGAAGCCUUGGAGCAAAUGCCAAUCUAUGCUAAGUUCAUGAAAGAUAUCCUCAGUAAGAGAAGGAAGUUGAGUGAGGUCGAUGAAACUAUCUUGAUGACCGAAGAGUGUAGUGCCAUUUUGCAAAGGAAGAUGCCUAAAAAGAGGAGAGAUCCCGGGAGUUUUACUAAUCCGGUGGAGAUAGAGGGGUUAACUGUGGUAGAAGCCUUGUGUGAUUUAGGAGCGAGUAUCAACUUGAUGCCGCUUAGUAUGUUUAAAAGGUUGAACUUAGGUGAGGUUACCCCAACUAUGAUUUCUUUGCAAAUGGCGGAUAGGUCCUUAAAAACCCCUUACGGGAUCAUUGAAGAUGUUGUGGUUAAGGUGGAUAAGUUUGUCUUCCCAGUGGAUUUUGUCAUUUUAGACAUGGAAGAGGACUCUAAAGUUCCUCUCAUAUUGGGGAGACCAUUCUUAGCCACUGGUGAGGCUGAGAUUAAAGUGGCUAAGGGAACUCUAACUUUGAAAGUAGGUGUAGAUGAGGUCCUCUUCAAUAUUUUUGACUCUUUAAAACACCGAGCGGAUGAGGAAGUUUUCCGAUGUGAAGUAGUGGAUGAGCUCGUGUGUGAAGAGUUUGUUAGGAUAUCUAUUAAGGACCCCUUGGAAACAACAAUCAUGGAGGGGUUAGAGAUAGAGGACCAAAAUCUUGAGAGGGAACUUGAUUCUUUGUAUCAUGAGGUGAAUGCUACUCUAUCUCAAUUAGAAUCUGUCUCAUACCUUGCCCACUAAAAGCAUUUGGAAAGAAGAGUUAACUAGGGAUGAGGAGAUUCCAAUUGAAGAGAAGAGUGAGCUCAAGCCACUCCCUUCCUCUCUCAAGUAUGCUUAUCUUGAGGAAGGUGGGAAUAAACCUGUUAUUUUGAAUAGUGCUCUCACUCCCUUGGAAUAGGAGAAACUCCUCAGAGUUUUGAGGGAUCACAAGUCAGCUUUGGGUUGGACUAUUGAUGAUAUCAAAGGCAUUAGCCCUGCGAUAUGCAUGCAUAAAAUUUUGUUGGAAGAAAAUUACAAACCUAUAGUCCAACCUCAAAGAAGACUUAACCCUUCCAUGAAGGAUGUGGUGAGGAAAGAGAUAAUCAAAUUGCUUGAUGCAGGUGUGAUUUAUCCCAUUUCGGAUAGUGAAUUGGUAAGUCCCGUUCAAGUGGUUCCCAAGAAAGGAGGCAUCACUGUGGUUGCCAAUGAGAACAAUGAGUUGAUUCCCACUCGUCAAGUGACGAAGUGGAGGGUUUGUAUUGACUAUCGAAGGCUGAAUUCGGUAACUAGAAAGGAUCACUUUCCUUUGCCCUUCAUAGAUCAAAUGCUGGAUAAGUUGGCUGGGCAUCAAUACUACUGUUUUCUUGAUGGCUAUUCCGGGUACAACCAAAUUUGUGUUGCACCGGAGGACCAAGAGAAGACGGCAUUCACUUGCCCUUACAGCGUGUUUGCUUAUAAGAGAAUGCCAUUUGGGUUUUGCAAUGCCCCAGCUACUUUCCAAAGGUGUAUGUUUGCUAUUUUCUCUGACUUGAUAGAGACUUGCAUCGAGAUUUUUAUGGACGACUUCUCUGUUUUAUGUCCGAAUUUUGAUGCUUGUCUAGGGAAUUUAGCCUUGGUUCUGAAAAGAUGUCAAGAGACCAACUUGGUCUUGAAUUGGGAGAAAUGCCAUUUCAUGGUUAGGGAUGGCAUAGUUCUCGGACACAAGGUGUCCGAAAAGGGGAUUGAGGUUGAUAGAGCUAAGAUUGAAGUCAUUGAAAAGCUCCCUCCCCCGACUAACAUCAAGGGUAUUAGGAGUUUCCUCGGGCAUGCUGGAUUUUAUAGGAGGUUUAUUAAAGACUUUUCCAAAUUAGCUAAGCCUAUGACCAACUUGCUUGAGAAGGAAGCACCUUUUACUUUUGAUGAGAAUUGUUUGAAAGCUUUUGAGUCUAUUAAAGAGAGUUUGGUGACAGCCCCGGUAAUUGUUGCUCCGGAUUGGUCUUUACCAUUUGAAAUCAUGUGUGAUGCUAGUGAUCUAGCUUUAGGGGCUGUCUUGUGUCAAAAGAAAGAAAGAGUGUUGUAUGUGAUAUACUAUGCAAGUAGAGUGUUAAAUGAGGCCCAAAGGAACUACACUACAACUGAAAAAGAGUUGUUGGGUGUAGUCUUUGCUUGUGAAAAGUUUAGGCCUUACAUCUUGGGUUUUAAAGUAAUUGUCCAUACUGAUCAUGCUGCUUUGAGGCAUUUGUUUGCUAAACAGGACUCUAAGCCAAGGUUGAUUCGAUGGGUCUUACUCCUUCAAGAGUUUGACCUUGAGAUCGUUGACCGGAGAGGCAAGGACAAUGGCGUGGCAGACCAUUUGUCAAGAUUGGAAGGUGGGGCGUGCAGCCCAAUACCUAUUCAAGAGGAGUUCCCGGAUGAGAAACUCCUAGCUGUUUCCACCGAGGAACCCUUACCCUGGUAUGUGCACUUUGCUAAUUUCCGUGUUGCUGGUCUUAUUCCCCAUGACUUGACAUGACAGCAAAAGAAAAAAUUUCUUCAUGAUGCAAAAUCUUACCUCUGGGAUGACCCUUUCCUUUUCAAAGUUUGUUCUGAUGGAGUCAUUAGAAGGUGUGUCCCAGAGGUUGAUUUUGAGAAAAUUCUUUGGCAUUGCCAUGGAUCAAGUUAUGGUGGACAUUUUAGUGGGGAGAGGACCGCUGCUAAGGUUCUCUAAAGUGGUUUCUAUUGGCCUACACUGCAUAGGGAUAGUAGAGCUUUUGUUGAGAGUUGUGAUAGAUGUCAACGAGCUGGUAACAUCUCAAGGAGAAAUGAGAUGACCCUCAAGAAUAUUUUGGAAAUUGAGUUGUUUGAUGUUUGGGGCAUCGAUUUCAUGGGACCUUUCCCACCUUCUUUUGGUUGCCAGUAUAUUUUAGUGGCUGUGGAUUAUGUUUCCAAGUGGGUUGAAGCCGCUGCACUCUCAACAAAUGACUCUAAGGUGGUGGUUGCUUUUCUAAAAAAGAAUAUCUUUACUAGGUUUGGUGUUCCUAGGGCAAUUAUAAGUGAUGGGGGUACCCACUUUUGCAACAGAGCUUUCGAGUCUCUCUUGGAAAAAUAUGGUGUUAAGCACAAAGUGUCUACCCCCUAUCACCCCCAAACUAGUGGGCAAGUUGAGAUUUCUAAUCGGGAGUUAAAACGUAUUCUUGAAAAGGUGGUAGAUUCUUCCAGAAAGGAUUGGUCAAGGAAACUUGACGAUGCUUUAUGGGCCUACCGAACCGCUUUUAAAACUCCGAUUGAUACCUCUCCUUUCCAUUUAGUUUUUGGGAAAGCGUGUCACUUACCUGUGGAGUUAGAACACAAGGCCAAUUGGGCCAUAAGGAAAUUGAAUUUUGAUUGGAAAGUUGCUAGCGAGAAGAGACUCUUGCAAUUGAAUGACCUUGAUGAGUUCCGACUCCGAGCUUACGAGAGUGCUAGCAUCUAUAAGGAAAAGACAAAGAAGUGGCACGAUAGGAAAAUUUUGAAUAGGGAAUUUGUCUCAGAGCAAUUGGUGCUGCUCUUCAAUUCUAGAUUGAGACUCUUCCCUGGGAAACUUAAGUCUAAAUGGUCUGGACCCUUUGUGGUCAAGAGGGUGUUUCCUCAUGGUGCUGUUGAGGUUGAGAACCCAGAGACCAAGAACACUUUCACCGUGAAUGGACAGAGGUUGAAAGUGUACCAUGGUGGUGAGGUGCUGAAGUUGGAAACCAUGUUUUUCAAACCUCCUUGACAAGGGGGAUAGUCUACCUAAGACUAUAACAAUGGGCUGCUUGGGAGACAACCCAAGUUUUGUUAUUUUGCUUGUUUGUUUGUUGCAUUUUGCAGGGAUUGGGAGCCUAAAUUCUAGAGUAGGAGGUGACUCUAAGGCCUCCAUGGUAAUUGGUAAAGAAGGUCAACUCUUUCCCUUAGUUUAGCUCAUGCAUCUUUGCAUAUCUUCCUUUUGUAGCUGUUAUUUUUCUUUUAAUCAUGCAUUGUUUUGUUAGAGUCGUUUUUUGGUCUUUUUCUCCCUAUACUCACAUGUUUUUGCCCGUAGUUAUGCUCUCUAACCUGUUGCUAGUUUUGAAAUUGUUUUUGGUGAAUACUUGUGCUGUCUUUUGGGGAUGAGAGAUUGCAUGCUUGGGGAAGAGAGGAGGAGACUUCGGUCUUCCGAGUGUUUCUUGAGAAAGGAGUCGAGGUGAGUCCAUUCAGGGUCUAUCUGUGACCCUUCACCAUAAAAUUUCCCUGGAGGAUCCUGACUCACUCGCACUUCUUGGCUCUGCAUUAAUUUCACUCAUAGCAUGCUUAGUGAUUCUUGCUUUAUUCUUGAGACUUGUAGGAUUUCUUGAGAUUCUGAAUUUGUUGUUUGAACAUUGUCCUUAGUUGUCCCAUUUGAGCCUUAUUGGAGAAUUUGUUGUAGCCAAGUGAUUGGGGUGGAUGUUUGGUUGGAAUAUUGGGGAGUGAUGGUCCUUGAUUAUAUUUGUAUGGAGCUGAAAAAUUGUGAAAUAGUCUCUUGCCCCAAGGAAAAAGAAUAAAUCAGUAAGAAAAAAAAGAAAGAAAAAGAACUCCUAACCAAAAGUUGGAGUUGGAAAAAAGGAAAAAGUUUGAAAAGGUGGGAGCAAGAGACUUGUAAAAAAGGUGUGUUGUAAGCUCCGGGGUUAUUAGGAGAGGACCACACUCAAUGUGCUUGAAAGCCUAGUUUUCCCUUAGGGACCAACCACCAUCAUGUUUUACCUAGCCAAUGUGUCAACCCUUUUUGAAGUCUCUUUGAAUAUUUGCAUGAUUGAUCUUUGUUGCUAUUGAGUGAAUGACAUUCAGGACCUAUGAACUUGUUUGUGUGCUCAGUACACUAAAUGAACAUCUCAUCCUAGGAUUUUUAGAUCUAUAUGUUUCUCAUGAAUGGACUCUACACUCUUCUCUUUUCAAAAGAUGCAUGAAGUAGGUUGUUGGGUCUUUCUCUUGGAACUAGCUGUGAUUACUUUGUCCCCUUGUUUUUGUGAAGUAUUCCUUGUUGAGAGCACUUGUUUGGGAGCAUUUCUUGCGCUUGAGGGCAAGCGAGUGUUAUUUACGCUCGAUGACGAGCUGUCGUUGAGUAUAGUGGUGUGAUGACCCUAUUUUAGUAGUGUUUUUAAGGUCAUUUCUUUGUGUGUUCUGGGUCUUUUUGUUGAGUCUCAUGUAGUGUUUCAUGCAUUCUCAUGCAUUUUUAUCUUUUCUUUAGUCUUUAUUUUGCUUUGGUAAUUUAGUAGUUUUAUAGGGAGUUUUUUUGCAUUUUGAGCAGAGUUUAAGGCUUGCAUGGUUUUAUUGUGUUAAUUGAAGGAUCUCUUGUGCUAAUAAGCUCUUUGAGCUUCUAGAAUUUUCCUUGGCUUGUUGGUUAAGUUUCAGAUCAGGAACUGAAGAAGGAAGAAGGCCAAUAAGCAUGGAAUUGAUGGA